RNAcentral lists this long non-coding RNA (61485 nucleotides) under Ananas comosus (pineapple). RNAcentral describes it as "long non-coding RNA (ACOM_LNC007259)". The record is from RNAcentral. Lineage: Eukaryota; Viridiplantae; Streptophyta; Magnoliopsida; Poales; Bromeliaceae.
AAAGAAAAGAGUGAGAAAAACACCAAUAUCUGUUCAAUUUGUCAUUUCAUCUAUCCUUUUGUUCUUGAAUGGUAGAAGGCGCUCUUUCUCGUUCUAUCUUCACACAGUAUUUUCUCUCUUCCAUCUAAUUUGUCAACCUAGAAUUAAGCAACAAAGGCUAUAGAAAAUAUGAUUUUUUUUUCCUUCUCUAUUAAAUUGUUAGCAUAUUUUUCUAUUACUAUUUUAAUAAUAGAACUAACAAAUCAGACAUAUAUAUUGAAUGGCUAAUUAUCUAGUUUGUGCGACUAUAUAUUUAUUGUUAUCAUUUGAUCAAGUUGCAUGAUAGUUGGUUUGAUACUUUUUGAAUUAUUAUUUUAUAUGAUUGAUUAUCUUUUUUUAUGAACAUAUGUAGAAUAAUUAAACAAGUUAAUGCAUAUUAGAAUAUGUUCCUUAAUAUAGUCUAGAUAUUCUAAUUGUUCUUAAUAUAUCAUUACAUAUAAUCAACAUACAUUUAAAUAUAUUUAAAAUAAUAUUUUAUUUAAGUAUAUCCCGCGUAUCGUAUCCUAGAAGUUUUAGAAAUUCCCGUAUCACCGUAUCGGUGUCGUGUCGUAUCUGUAUCCCCGUAUCCGUAUCUGUGCAACAUAGCCCCCCUGUACUGUGCCACCUUCUUGGUGGCAUGGUACAUGCCGCCCCAUGCCUUACGACACGGGACGGCACUUUAAACGUUGCUUAGAAGUUCGCAGUUUUCUUUAGUUUUCAGAACAUGCAAAUCACUCUCGUGUUUAGUACCCUUACAGAGCUAAUUUCUAACCCUACAAUCCAGAUAAGGAUUUACAAAGUACCAAACAGAGUUAGCAAAUGGUAGGAUCAUUUUUGGCCGAAUAAGUUUGGACCAACAAGUACUUAUUUCUAAUCUUUGUAAUGUUUCGAUAUAGUGUUCAAAUUUGGAUUAAUAUGCUUACAAACUAUAUUCUCUACCUAGAAAUAAGCUGGAGUUGCUCAGUUUUCUGAUACUGUAAUCUGCUAUUUCUUUAUUCCCUUGAGGAGAGUGCGACUCCUGUCUUCCACAAAUUCAUAUUUAAUUAAUUUCUUUAUUUGCAGAGCAAAGCCGAUGCUUUCGAGUACGCUGACCAAGUAUUGGAGAAAUGGUAUCCCACAGUUGAAGAAGGGAACAAUAAAGGAUUAGUUGUGCUGGUUACUAGUCAGAAAGAAGGUGCAAUCACAGGGGGCCCUGCAUUCCUCCAGGCUGUCGGAGACUCAGUUUUAGACGCUGCAGUAUCUGAGAACCUUCCAGGUUAGCAUUUGUUAUAUUUAUCAUAUUAAAUAACCAAAAUGUAAGUUGAGCUGAGCUGCAAAUUAGGAAAGGAAGCUCAUUCCCUUUAGAUCUGGCACGCACUAAGAAUACUACGUUGAUUCUCAAUUCUAGAAGUGACUUCUAUAAGUCAUCUUUCUCAUAAUACGAUGUAUUUGCUGCUAAUGCCUCUGUUCAUUUUAUUACUUAAAUCAAUGCUGGAAGAAGAUUAUUGCAUGGCAAAUUAAGAACAGCUGUUUUAUUCAUUUCAUGCAAGGACCUUUAGUUCUGAAAGUCAUAGGGUUACUGUUCUUAAUUAUGAUUUCCAGGUGUGUGAUCUUAUAUAUCUGAUCUAUUUUAUUAUACAAGAAGAAAAUAAAUAAUAUGUACAAAUGCAAUGCUAAUCUUUUUGAGAAAAAUGGUUGUUUCAUACGGUGUUAGAAUCGGAAGUCAGUUUUAAUAUUUCUAGGUUAUGGAUGGACAUCCAGUCUGAUUUAAUUUCCUCUCAUUUGCUCUAUAUGCACAUGAUGGCCUUAUAGCCAAAAUCUGCCCAGACUUGAAGGCGAGGAUUAAAUAUUUACUAGUGUAGUCACCCGCGCGAUGCGGCGGAUAGAUAUUAUCGAAACAAUCAUUAUUUCUAUAAAAUAAAAAAUAUUAGUUUAAAUGGGCUGUAAAAAUCGGUAAAAUACUAUUAAAGAUGACAUUUUUAUACUUAUUAACUCAACAAUCUAUAUAAUUAAACUCAAUAUUUCAGUCAAAAAAAUAAUAAAAUUAUAAGUAAGGAUAAAUACAAAAUUUACAAUUGAUUACACAUAACAAUUCAAAUAAAAGGAAUUGUUAAAGUUCAAGCGAGUGUUAAUUGAAAAUUAAAUAAAAUUGAGGGCCUAUUUCAAAUGGGCUAGAGAGGAUCUCUCAGUAAACAUUUGUACCAAUCUUUUUUUAGUAUAAAAAAAAAAAAAGCCAAACAAAGCUAAACCUGCACUUCUCCGGGCCUAAUUAUGCCCUUAUGUCCAGCAAAAUUUUGAUGAGUGAAUGAGCCCUGAAACCCCACAGAAAUAAUUCAGUGAACACCUUAUAAGCAUCUACUGCAAACCAAUCUGAAUUAUAACAGAGAUGUGUAACUUGAGUUACUUCUAGUAUGUAUGUAACAGUAUCAAAUCCUGGAAAAAAAAAAUAUAAUUAAAUACAACAACACCUGAACAGAAGCAAAUACCCUAUAAUAUAAGACCAUCAAUUAUAAGUUGUCAUUUUUCCAAACCAACCUCUAUGAGGGUAAUCAGGAAACCCAGCGGGAGGAGAAACUGCAACAAAACAAAUUGUAAUUCAAGUGAAAAAAAGAAAAAAAAAAACCAACUUAAAAAAGAAGGAACAGUUGAGCAAAAUCAAGCAAAAUUUGGAAGAAUUUAAUGAUAAAAAUUCUAAAUUUUUUAUCCAAAUCGGAAAAAAAAAGGUUUUCACAUCUUUCCGAUAAACCAAAAUACCUUCAAACUCAUUCAGGAGAGGGAAAGGAUCCAAGAUUCUCAGCUCAGGCCUGCAAAUCACAUAAACCCCACCUAAUUAACACCCAAAAUAGAAAAACCAAAAGGUACAUAUAUAAAAAAAAGAAUGAAUUCAUAAAAAAAGUCUCUUUUUGCUUUCGCAAUAAGUAAUCGAUUUAUCUGAAAGUUCAAUCUCAAUCAUUCAAUGAAUUACAAAUUUUUACACGAAUUACCUUUUAAUACUUCUCCUCAUGGUGGCGUCUUGUCUAUAAAAAAAUAAAAAUAAAAAAAAAUAAAAUAAAAUAAAUAAAAUAAAAUGAAAGAAUGAAAUGGUGACUAUGAAAAGUUUAAUAGAUAUUCAAAGUUGGUAGAGUAAUCAAUUAUAAUUAUAAUUGCCAUUAAUUGAUGAAACGUUAAUGUAGAUUACUAUUAAUUCAUGAAACGUUAAUAGAUCAUAUAACGUAGAGGAGAGGGGAGGGAAAAGGGUGGGAAUUAAAGGAGAGAGAAUUAUUAAAAAAAUGAAAGAAUGAAAUGGUGGCUAUGAAAAGUUUAAUAGAUAUUCAAAGUUGGUAGAGUAAUCAGUUAUGAUUAUAAUUGUCAUUAAUUGAUUAAACGUUAAUGUAGAUUACCAUUAAUUCAUGAAACGUUAAUAGAUCAUAUAAUGUAGAGGAGAGGAGAGGGGAAGGGGUGGGAAUUAAAGGGGAGAGAAUUAUUAAAAAAAACUAAAACAAAUUUUUCUAUCUAUUAACUAAAGAAUGAAGGGUUUCUUGCCACGUGGCAAGAAACAUUGUGGAUUCAUUAUGUUUAAUAGAUAGAUAGUUAAGACGCCAUUAUCUACUAGCUUAAGCAAUUAGAUAAAAAAUAAUAAUAAGCUGGUAAAAAUAUAUGGAACUUUUUUGAACUAUGGACCGUUUGGAUUUAGCUACACAAUCUUUCAAAUUUCUUAUUUUAUUACCUAAUCUUUCAAAUUUUUUGAUUUGAGCCAGUCAAAGGCACUUUAACCUCCGUUUAUUUUACAGGUUUAGUUAGUAUAUUUUAUGCAAUUCGCGCAACUAUAAAUUUAUUAAAGUAGUUAGCUUAAAUUUUGAAGUCAAAGUUUCGUUGAUUGACUCAAAUCAAAUAAAUUGAAAGGUUGGGUAGCCAAUCCAAAUGGCCCAUAGUUCAGGUAAGUUUCAUAUAUUUUUACCUACUAACUUCACAAGGAACUGUAGCUAGAUAGCUAUAUACUGUCACGUUGAUUUGUGCACAGUGAAUGCAAGUGCAAGAUAAUAAAAAAUAAAACUUAAGAGCAAGAAAUGCAGUAGAAAGUAUGUCGGCAUGCUUUGAUAUUUUACAAUUUGAUGAAGACAAAGUCACCAGUGGCUGAUCAUGAGAUGCGAAAGUUUGUAUUAGGAAAUGACAAUAUAUCCUGAUUAAACACUAAUUUGGCAAGAGCAUUCUUUGGUACCUCUCUUGUUUAUUCUUUUAUCUGAUAGGGCGGGCAGCUCAUACGAAAGAAGUGCAAACUUUUAUGUGACAGCCCAGAGUUUACAAGUUCACUUUCAAAACGAGUAAUUUAAUUUUGGUUCUUUUAGCUAAACUUUAAUUUUAUUCUUUCUUUCUUCUUAGAGUGAGACACUCUUCUCAUGUGUACAGAGUUAGGUAUGUCAGUAACAUGUAUAGUUCUUAUUGGCAGCUAUAUCUAGGAAUUGGGGCGACCUUGCUAGCGUGCGCGAGGUUUGCAUAGAUAAGUUGGUCGACGGGCAAAAAAGUUAUAUUGUCAUGAAUUUAUCCACAUAACUUCGACUUCGACUUGUAAAUUGUAAAAUAUGUUACCGCAUGCAUCUUCUUGGCUAUAAAAGGCCAUCUCGAAUAGAUUAGGCAUGUGAAAUCAUCAAUUCAUAUCACCCAUAACAGCCGACAGAGAAGAUUGAUUCUGUUCCAGCAUGAUUUCUAUAGUUGUGAAAUGGUUUAGUGUUUAAGCGUGUCGUGGUCUAUAUCCAUGUCCAUGUCCAUGUCCAUGGAACCUAGGCUAGAAGUUAUGAUUUUUGUGUAUAUUUUGAUUUUUUAUGGAUCAUACUGUAUUAUAUCAAAACUGCAAGGCUUCAGUAUUGCUCGCAUUAUGUAGUGAUAAAUAAAUGUACCAGAGGUAUAAGAUACUUCAUCUUCUGUUUCAUGUGUGCAGUGUUAGCCACUGAAGAGAAGUACAAUGAGGCACUGUACAGCACCGCCAAACGCCUGGUUGCGGCAAUCGAUGGGCUCCCAGAUCCCGGCGGACCAAAAUUUCAGGACAACAAGCGCGAAUCCAACUUCAAGAGCAGGGAGGAGACUGAAGAAAAGAGGGGGCAAUUCACCCUUGUUGUCGGUGGUCUUCUAGUGAUUGCAUUUGUCGUGCCGAUGGCUCAGUACUAUGCCUAUGUUUCCAAGAAGUAGGUUGCAAUUGUGUACUCUUCACUGAGAAAUCCUAGUUGCGAGAAACAAUCCAUUCAUGAAUUGAGAAGCACAGAGGUCGCCAAAUUGAUAGCAAAAAUGCAUCAAGUUCCCCAGAUUUUUGUUUUUGUUUUUUUUUUUUUCCCUAAUUUCUCUGCACUAAAAAAGCAUUAUUGUGCGUACAAACUUCGUCCCACGUAAGUGUCAUUGCGCUGUUCUAUCAUAAGCAUGGCUUCAUAAUGUCGUUAAGCCGGUGUAAGGUAAUUCUUCCCCAGCUCCUGUAAUGGCUUUUGAGAGACUGGCACAUGACGCGAGGGGCGUCUGCAUUUGGCUUAAAAUCAUAAUGGCAGAAAAUUACUGUGUACUGCAGCUUAUAUAAUAUUAUUUACAUUCAAUGAUUAGAGAUAAAGAUACAUCAACGUAGCAGGUUCGGUUAGGAAAUUGAGGAAAGAAUGCGACCCGGUCGUUAGAACUUAGGUUUCAACAGAAAAGGCAUCUUGUCAGAGAAUGGAGGAUCGGAGUACUUCCCGGUGAGUAUCUGUGAUGAAACAUGAAAAUUCGCAGCCUCUGUGUAAUGUAUUCCAUCCCAAUUGACAUAUUCUGUGCUAUCGUUGCAUCCUUUUGCUGUCAAACGACUCCCACUGAUAACUUUGGUUUGCCCGCAAGGGAUUCGACUGUCAUAAUUCAGUGCUCCUCCGCCGUACCCACAGCAUGCUGUUAUGGGAUAUUCAAAUCCUGCACAAAAUAUUGACGAAUUAUGUCCCAGUGUCAUGUUUUAACUUUUAACAUGCGCACUAAUGAAUAACAAAUAAUUUUCUUACCAUAUCGAGAAUAAUUUGCAAUCAGAUCAUACUUUAUCGAGUAGAUAUCAACGUAAGUGAUGUUUGCAUCUGUGUAUUGACCCUGCAAUUUUGUACAAAGUGCAUGGAGCUGCAAGUUGAAAAGCUUAGCUGCGCGAUUAUGGGACGCAACACAUCCGAGCUCGUCCAGCUUUGAUGGAUCUUUACCAAAAGCAGCUAUGUUUUGAGGUAAGCACCCGAGGGGAGCAGUAUUAUGAAUCCAGAAUUUCCUUGCGCCGUUAUCAUAUAACUUCUGAAAGAGAGAAUAUUAGGUAAGAGUAGAAAUCCAUGAACUAAUCAACUCAACUAACAGUAAACUGCAUCAGAAUAUAAGUAGACAAAAAUACAAGUAGACAAAGUAACAACACUAAUAAAAGUCAACUUGAAUAGCAAGAAGAGAUUCUACAAAAUGAUUAGCCAACUGCACAAGAAAAUUUGGCUUCUAUUUAACCAAAACACAUAUUACUUUUGUGAAAAAGAAAAUUGAUGCUUUAUUAGUUUAAAAGCUUCAUCAAGAUUUUUUCUCUUUUCCUUUUUUUUUUUUUUCAUUUUUUUCCCUUUUUUUUUCUUUUUACACAUGAUGAAGCAUGCAAUUAAACCUUUAACAGGUUAUUAAGUAAAGGGCAUCCAAAGUGGAAGUCACGAAACCUUGAGUCCAGUCUCGAAUUCCAAUAGAAUUGUUGGAAUAGAGGCAAUAACUUGGUCCUCCUUUUUGUGGUAGAAUGCACCGGCGAGGUCAUUUUGGCCUACAUCGAACAUGUAGAGUCCCUCACCGAAGAAAUCCACAUGAGGAAUAUAUUUCUUGUAUCUGUUCCCUGCAAUGAAGCAAGAAGGAAACCGAAAUUUUAGUUGCACAAUCAUUUGAAUUCAACCAGAAUUUAUAAGCUACAAGCUGCUUGAAGCCUCAGCCAUUGCACGGGAUCUGUUUUUAGUCAUAAAACUUUCCAUGAUAUGUUCGGACAAUUUCAAAAAGUGGCCUUUUUUCGUUUCGUAUCUGUUAUAAAAGUUCACCACAUUCUUACAAUGUACAAAUUCAAAACUGAAAUGUGUGGUACUCGGAUUAGUAGCAUAACAUGUUAUUUCUUUUCUGGAUAGGGACAUGAUGCUGCUAACGCCAUUGAUGCAGCUAAUUUGUACAUGUCUAUUGUUAACUCGUUAAAACAGUAGAAGAUAGUAAAGGCGAUUUUAAGUCAAAAAAGCAGAAGUCCAAAGAAUACAUGACACAGGUUUUUGGCCAUCCGUUCCGAAGCACGCAACGCAAGGAAGGCAGACACGUGGGUGGGCCGUGACUUCAGCCCUUUGAGCUUGGUGAAAAUGACAGAUUCCAGCUUCUCGCGACUAAGUCGCCGAACUCAGAUAAUUAUACUAAAUUUGAAUCGCAAUGUGCAAUGAAAUGAAUGCUACAAUCCCAAUAGAACUAACCCCACUCAAUCCUGCUAUUGAAAAUCCAGCGCAGCAGAAUUCACUGAAUUGCCCCAUUACCACAAUACCCUUAAUUAGCUAUUGAGCUAGAUAUGUCUUAACCCCAGAAAACUUUUCUAUCCAGUUUUAGAGAUAUCGACAAGAGUUCCCCACAUCCAACUAACAUUUAUAGGGUUACUUGCACUAUUGGUCCCUAACUUUUACCUAUUUUUAUUUUGGUCCAUAACGCUUUUUUUUGGCUAUUAGAUCCGUAACUCUUAUAAUCUGUUUCAGUUAGGUUCUAACCAUCAUAAUUCUUGUUACUUUUUGACACAUCAAACCCGAUAAAGCCCUGUCUACUCUUGUAGAUCAUUGUCAUGGUCCAAUAGCCCCCGGUCAAGGUUUUAAGUGCCCGUCGGCAUGGGCCGUAUCCACCUUGCCGUACCGUGCCAACAAGAUACCGACACGAUACAGACCCCGUGCCGAUGGCACAGCUCAAAACUCUCUAUUCUUUAAAUUAGUAAGUAAUUUCCUCAAUAAAGUUCAAAAGAUGUGAUAAAAAGAUAUAAUAAAUAGUUAGAAUAUUUUGUUGCUAAAGAAAAUAAAUAUUUCGUGCUAUUAUAUGUCGGCACACAAGAAUUUUUUUGACCGACACGCAUUGGCACGACUCGGCACCGCCGUACCGUGCCGGCAAGUUUCUUGCACAACCCCGUGCCAUGGCACUUAAAUCCUUGCCCCCGGUAAGUCUCGGCACUGAUUGUUCAAGCUUCUAGAAAAGUUUGGUGGCACUCCCUGCUCAACAUCAAGGAUGCCAAAUACUCCAAAAGUGGUAGUAGACAUCGUAUGCAUCAUAGUAACAUUCUUUGAUAUCCCAUAUCUAGUUUCAGCUUUAGCCUAGAAAGGUAGCUUAGUUUGUCGCAUAAAUUAUUCGCCUAUUUUUAUUCUGAUCUACAAACAUAGCUUAGUUUUAGUUAAACAACUUUAGCCUGAAAAAUCGUCACACAAGCAUAUUUUUGACAUGCAACAUAGGUAACAUGCAUGAAAAAUUGUGGUUCUAGAUUCCUAAAUACGGGACAAUUUAGACAACGUUAAAAUGGGAUAGCAAAAAGUUCUAUUUUUCACCCUCAGCACUUUCAAAAGUAUUAUACCUAAUACAAACAACUUCACAACUUAUAAGACCACUAAAUUUUGCGUACUAGAGUAUAAUCUCUUUUGCUUACAGUAAGUUAGAUUCUAAAAUUAGCUUGGCAAGAGCAAUAUACAUACCUUUAGCUAGCAAUUCAAGAACUCGAUCCUUGAACCGAAGAAACUGAGCAAUCUGAAGACCAAAGCCAAAUGGGCUGACAGAUGAUGCUGUUGCAGGAAGUAUGGUAGAACCAGCCACAGCAAAGUUUGAACCUUUUCGAAAACUAGGUGCACCAACAGAAUCUAAAUAUGCAUUAAGGAACGGCAUAUCCAUGGCAUCCACUGCACAAAACAAUUACAAUUUCGAUCAAUAUAAUGCACUUUCCAGCAUUCUAGCAUCAUGUACAAGAAUCUAAGCACAAAAAAUGUAAACUGCAAAUAGGCGGCCAAUAUAUCCUUACAAAGACAAUCUCCAAACAAGGACAUGGCAACAGUGCUCCGCUCCUAUGUGGCAACACUAAAAAAUUACCUUUUUCUCUGUGACUGAGUGGGUACUCCACUAUAGCAAGUAGCGGUGAUAGCGAAACAUGCCCUAUGCUAUUUGUACAUGAGCAAGAAGCACAAUAGUUAAUACAAAAAAUUGUUCUCAACUGUUUAUGUGAAAAAGGUACACUUGUGAAGGGGCCAAUUAGCAUCCUUUAGGUUCUUUGUUUUUGCCUCGCUUGUUUCUCUUUGUGGUUGAGAGCACUUAAGGAUUGACUUCUUUAAAUUCUUACCGUUGGUUUCAAGAAUUAUAGUGUCAUGGCACGGAGGCGUGCCAGUUGUCGCCCGGCACAGUACGGCACAGGCACGCCUCCGUGCCGACACCAAGCAUGCUGAUAGAUACGCAUAACCUCCUAGCAGCACGUUUUGGCACAAUUUUUUUUAGAUUUUUUUGUUCUCAAUAAACUCUUAUAAUGCUAUUUUGAAAGAUUUCGAAAAAUAAUUAUAAAUAUUGGCUAUGUAUAACUUAUUGCACUCAAUAAUUAAUAUACUAGUAGAUAUUUUAUACAUGUACAACAAAUAUAAUUAUAGCUCGUAGAAAAUAAUUAAUUUUGAAAAUUUUCUGAUUUUAGCUUUUUUCGGAAAUUUAAAAAUAAUAAAAUAUAAAAUUAAAGAAAAUUAUUUUUUUCUUAAAGUUUUUAUGGAAUUUGCAAUAUUCAAUAAUAUUGAUUCAAUAAGAGACCGCAUGAUAACUAGAUUAACUAGAAUAGAACUACAAUUGUUCCAAUAAUUUUUUUAAUUUUGAAUCUAUUAAAAACAUUUAUUAAAAUUUUGAAAAAAGAUUUUUUUUAUUAAAAUUUUUAAGAAAAAUUAUGAGAUCUAUCCAUAAAAAUUUAAUAAUAAAUCAUAUGUUGAAUAAUUAAGCAAAUUCAAAUAUUAAUUGCUUUAAUUUUUUUAUUUUAUUAGUAUUUUCCACCUUCUAAAUCCAAAAAUAGAAUUCUCAAAGUAAAAAACAAAAAUUGUCGUAAAUCUCAUGCCCAUUGCUAGAUUUAUCCAAAAUAAUUACAAAUCGAACUACAUGAUAACUUAAUCAAGUAGAUCUAUUUUUAAAAUUUUGUAAACUAUAAAUAAAAAUUUGCAUAAUUUUAAAUUUCUCCAAAAUAGGAACUUCACAAGUUACAAAUAUUCAAAAUGUAUGAACAAAUUUAAAAUUGUAUAUUUUUUAUUUAUCUAACAAGUACAUCUUUGACUUGCUAUUUCUUUGCCUUUUCGAAGUGAUCAAAGUGAAAAAAAAAAGUAGAAAUAGAAGAAAUUGAAAAAAGAAAUUAGAGAAAAAAUUACAAAGGGAAAAGGGAGGAAAAAUAGAAAAAAAAAAAGAGAGAGAAAGAGAUAGUAAGAAGAAAAGAAAAGACUAAAAGAGCGAGUUGAGGGGAAGAAAAAGUAUAAGAGAAUGGGAAAGAGGGAUGUGUGUAGGACACAAAAAAAUCCAAAAUUAGGCACAAAGUACUAAAAAAAAAAAAAAAAAAAACUUAAAACACUGCGUGCCCAUAUAGGCACGCAGCGGCACUGUACUGCGAUACCCUUUGGUAUCAUGCCGUCUAGCACGAUACUCUUUGGGUAUCACGACACGGGGGAUCUAAGAGAGAUCCCCCCUGUAUUAUGCCCCUUAAUUGCUGGCACGAUACGUAUCGCUCCGUGCUGACUGGCACGGUGGAUACUUUAAACCUUAGUAUCUGUAAACUCCCCCACCCUCCCCAAAACAAAGAACACUUGCUAUUAUCGUUCUAUUUUUCUUUUUAUUCCUUUUUAUUCCUCAUGAAAAACCAUUAUUUACUAUUUGCAAAUAGUUACGAAGUAAUAAACCUCAUUUCUAAGAGCUUAUAACCUCAAAAAUUUUAAGGAAAAACAUAACCUAAAAACAUAGACGAAAUGGUAAUUAGCUAUCAUAAUGGCUUAUUGGCCUAAUGAUGCAGGUAUUCUACUGCUUCUAGAAAAUGGUUACAAUACAACCCAACAUAUUGUCAACAUUAAAUAGUCUGAAAACAGCUUAACCAAAAUAGUACAACAGAAAUUAUUCCGCAUCAACUUGGUAUCAAAUCCUAAAGAUUCCUUACUAAAGUAACAACAAACUGUUGAUUUUGAGAAAAACUAAAACGGUCUUCGUCUCUCCAUCUAACCACCUAAGAGAUAGGACCAGCAAAUAGGCUUAUCAUCAUUAAGACAUCAAUUCAAAGAGUUGAGGAGCAUAUAUUGGUAACAGAUUGCAUAAAAAUGUCAUUUCAGCAGCAACUGAUCUCCUAACUAACACUCAUGCAAAGGAAGACAUCUCAAUUCCCACUUAAAAAGGCGCACCAACAGAAUUCCAUCAAGGCAUCGUUUGGGAAUAUAUUACUCAAACACACAUCAUGGGUCUAAAAAUCCAGAAGCACUUUGGAGCUCACUUUCUCGGAUGCUUUGAAGUGGUGGUUUGUGUGGCAAUCCCUACCAUCAUUUUAUAGCAUUGGGUGAGGAGGCUACAAAAUAUUUUCCAAAUUGCUUUUGAAUUUCCAGACGCAAUGGAGAGUGCAUUUGGGCAAUCGAUUCCCAAACUAUGUCCAAGGCCUAUGUUUGGAUGCAUGAGCAUCUUUUGCAAUUUAUCCCUUUGAUUUACCUCAGAAGCAUGUAGUAUUUGGUAGAUAAGUAGCAGGUCAAAUGUACUAAAAUGAAUAUCAUAUUCGACUUUCAUGUCAAUGUUUUGGAAUAACAUAAGGCACCUCGUAGGUGGAAUACGCUAUCCUACUAAAUCAUAGAUGUCAAGAUCUUUUGAGAAAAGAAAAUUCAAACUCCUAGCUUUCAAUUAUACAAGAAUAGUUAUUAUUGGAUAUCUUAUUUGGACAUCUAAAGAGGGACUCAAUCUAUUUUCUUCUGCUAAACACACUAGCUAUGUGUAUAUAUAUAUAUAUAUAUAUAUAUAUAUAUAUAUAUAUUCAAUAACAUCCUUGAAGCAAGCUCCUCUUACGUCCCAACAAAAUAUAAAUAAAAAGAAUAAAAAAAAAUUUUAAAAAAUAGCUUAGCAGGCAGAGAGUGCCCAUCACUCAAUUGCAACCAAUAUCAACCAAUAGUUCAAUUUAUAGCCGAAAGAAAAAAAAUAAAAAUAAAAAUGUAAAGGUCGUUGGGCAAAUGAAUAAAUAUGCAGUUAAUAGAUAAGGUUAAAGAUCUCGGCGGGUAGGACGAGAGAGAGAAAGUGAGAGAGGAAUGAAUUACAGAGGAAAUCGAUGAUAAGCCGGCCAUCGCAGAAGCGGCCGGCGGGUCUGCGGAAGUAGGUCUGCCCGUACGGGGGGCCGAUGCUCUCGAGGCCGGCGGCAAUGCGGGCGCCGGUGUCGGAGUUGGAGUCGCCGAAGUUGAAGACGGCCGGGCAAUUAAAAUCUACGGCGGCCAUAGCCACGCAGGCCGUGUGCAGAAAGAGGACGACGAUGACGAUGAUGAUGAUGAUGAUGUGGGAGGAGGCGAGGCGGCGAGCAGGCCGAGAACGUGCUGCCAUCGGAGCCGCCCGUUGCUCUUUGCGAGCUCUCUGUGCUAUUUGAAAGUAUGUAAUCACUUAUUUGGAAUACCUGAGAACGGGCGGUGGUAAAAUGAUUGUGGCCUUGCGGGAGGCCGGGAUUUUCUAUAAAGCAACAACAAGAAUGACGGGAGAGGCUGUUGGUGGCAAGAGACUAAUAAGAGAGCCCCCAAGAGCUGCAGCGCCUGGUUUUAUUAUUUUGUAAGUCACUUCUAACACGCUUAGAAAAGACGCAGAAGCAAUGUUGUCCGUAUUUUCUUAAAUUUGGUACACAUUUUAUACUACAUUUAUUCGAUAGUUCUUAUUCUCUGGUUAUUAUAUUAUUAAUUUUUUUUAGGAAAAACUUCAAAAACCUCCUUUAUGGUUUCAAUUUUUUUCACCUUAAUACCCUGUGGUUUAAAAUGUAUCAAGUUAGUACCCUGUGGUUUCUCACUUUAUCACUUUAGUACCCUGUGGUUUUAAUUUGUAUCAAGUUAGUACCCUGUGGUUUUUUAAAUCACAGGGUACUAAAGUGAUAAAGUGUGAAACCACAUGGUACUAAAGUGAUAAAGUGCAAAACCACAGGGUACUAACUUGAUACACUUUAAACCACAGGGUACUAAAGUGAUAAAAUGAGAAACCACAUGGUACUAACUUGAUAAACUUUAAACCACAGGGUACUAAAAUGAAAAAGUGUGAAACCACAGGGAGGGUUUUUGAAGUUUUCCUUUUUUUUUAACUAUAAGUUUCAAAGUUUCGGCAAACGGUAGAAUAUAUCAAGUGUAAGACUAAAAGGGAUGUAAAAAAAAAAAAAAAAAAUCCAUCCAAGUAUAUUUAUCGCUUUGAAGAAAAGAUAUUAAAUAUAGGCAUUCUUAUGUCAAAAUUUGUUAUGACAAUGCAGAAACUAAUAACUAAUAAGUAUAAAGUUUGAUAUAAUAAUUUAUACUCUUAUUUUUCUAAAGCAACAAAAAAUUGUGUGAAGUACAAAAUUUUGAUGAAAUAUGUUGAUGAAGUAAUAAGAAAAUUUAUGAAUGAUUUCGAUUGGCAUGCAUAGCAAUUAUAAAUACUAAUAUAGAGCGGCCCACGCUUCGCGGCGGGUAUGUGAUAUUUCAGUAAUUUAAAAUAUAUGGUUAUUAAAAUUUUAAGCUUACAAAAAUUAUGUUGAGAAAUUAGAUUGCAAAUUGUAAUGAUGUGUAUUUGAUAAAUUACUUUGUGAAAUUUAUGUGUUGAACGAAUGGAUUCCUUUGUAGGGACAUGUCUGUUCAAACAGACAUGACUCUUCGAUUAUGUCUAUUCAAACAAGAUAUGACUUACCUUUUGAAAAAAAACAUAUAAAUAGAGGCUCUUGUGCCAAAAUUCAUAUCACCAAAAGUUUCCAGAUUUCAGAGUUAAGAGCGUGAGAGAUUCCGAGUUUUGCUUCUUGAGUAUCUCUAGCCUCGUUCUAUCCCGAGAGUUCUUUGUCAUAACCCGAAGCAAACUUUGUUUGGGGGCAAAUCUACUCUUUGGAAAGUGCUGAACCCGUGACUCGAGACUUUCCCCAUGUACGAGUAUUUGCUCGUGUUUAUUUCUUGAAGUGUUCGUGGCUGGUGUUCGAGUUCGAUAAUCGUCUCUUUCGGUUGUCAUCCCCUACCGUCCCUUUCAAUCAAAGAGUAGAUUACUUUCUUUUCGAGAUGGCUUCGGAGGUGACGUCCGUGUACAAAGUUAUCAACCAAGACUUUGUGAAAAUUGAUCGUUUUGAUGGGACAAAUUUCAACCAUUGGAAGGACAAGAUGCUCUUCCUUCUCACUGUGCUUAAUGUGGCGUAUGUGUUGGAUCCUGAUGACAAUUCUGUGGAGAAUACAACCGAUGAUGCUACUCCCGAGGAAAUAGCAAAAGUAGCGGAACUGAAGAAGAAAAGAGAGGAAGAUGAGUUCAUAUGUCGAGGCCACAUCCUCAACACACUCUCCGAUCGACUGUAUGAUCUCUACAUGUCGAUCAAGUCUCCGAUCGAGCUAUGGAAGGCACUUGAAGAGAAAUACAACACUGAGCGACAAGGUACCGACAAGUUUCUUAUGAUGAAGUACUUCGAAUUUAAGUUCCUUGAUUCCUAUCCUCUCAUGGACCAAGUCCAUGAGUUGCAAGUGCUCGUGCAGAGACUUCGUGAUCUCAAAGUCAUUAUUCCCAAGGCAUUACAAGUGGGGGCGAUUAUUUCGAAAUUACCCUCCACUUGGAACGAGUAUUGGAAAAAGCUUCGUCAUAUGGCCGAAGACUUUUCUAUGGAGAAAAUUCUUAGACAUCUUCGCAUUGAGGAAGAGACUCGAAAGCGAGAUGCGGUGAAUUUUUCUCAAAGUUCUAAAGUGAAUAAUAUGGAGUCCAAGACCUCUCGGAAAGGCAAGAGAAAGGCUUCGUUUGAAACCGAAGAACAACAAGACAAUAAUAAGAAGAAGCGUACAUGCUUCCAUUGUCAUAAGAAAGGGCACUACAUUAAAGAUUGCCGAAUUCUCAAGAAAGAGAAUUAACUAAAGGAAUCCACCGCUCAAAAGGCCAAUGUGGUUGAGGAGAAGGACUUAGUGGCCAUGGUGACAGAUUCUUUUCAGUCCAUGGAGAUUGGUAUGAUCACCGAACUGAACAUGGCAACUACCGAGAAAUCGUGUAAUUGGUGGCUAGACUCUGGUGCUACAGUCCAUGUGUGCAAUGACCGGCUACAAUUUAAAGGCUACGAGGAGGUGGCAAAUCGAGAGGUGCUUAUGAGCAACAACCAAUUGGUCAAAGUGCACGGUCGAUCAAUGUCACGCCCCGAGCCCGAUCCUUUUGACCGGUUCGAGUGCGUCGAACAGACGCCGAACGGACAGAGCCUCCCCUGUCCGCCCAAGGCUCCACAAUAUGUAUCAAUAGAGUAAAAAUUGCAUAAGCGGAAGCAUACGCAAUGGCUUGCACGAGGGCAAGCAAUAGCCAAUAGUGAAAGUAAUAAACUACACUUAGGAAAUCAAUUACAAUUUUGCAUCAUUUCUUCUCUUUUACAUCGCAUGAUCUCAAAUAUAAAUUCUUGCAUUUAAACAUAAACUCUUUUUACAUCAUUUAUUUAACAUGUUCAUAAUAGUAUAAUCAUCAAGAUACAAAAGAUGAUGUAUAAGUAGAGGGUAUGCGACUACAAAAUGAUAACCACUCGGGAGGUCUCUAACUAGGGCGCUAUGCCCUUACCGCGAUCGUCAGUCGGCUCGCUCGGUCAUGGCUCUAUGAAAAUAGGGGUGUGAGAACUACAACAAAGUUUUCAGUGGGUUCGGCAACCAACCACGCCGACUAUCCCACUAGGUCUAAUCAGGCAUAAUAGAAUAGAGGAAAGAAAGUAACUAACUAACAAAUGCAACUAAUAUGCCUGAACAAUAUAAAAUGCGAUGCUCGAUGUAAUGCUCAUGAUGAAUGUAGGAUCACAAUUUCUUUAUCCAAUCUCUUGGCUAACCCGUAGGUUUCGCCCUCAACAAACUCACCAAUCCAAAAUCCGAAUAACUGGGGAGAUAUCCGCUACAACCCGAUAAGACCGUCUUCUGGGGAGAUACCCACUACAAUUCAGUGAUGUCAACUCCGGAGCACAUCGCCCGAGGGGGAGCUACCACCCUCGAGCAAUUACUAAAGGUGAGUACGAUCAAUCCUACAUUGAGGAUUCCAAGUUCAAUCCAUUCCUUAACUUUAAGGAAGACCAUACUCAAAUGACCAUUAACUCUAAGGUUGAAAUGUCAUAAUGUCUCAAUCAUUCUUUUUUUUGCAUUCUUUACUAUCACUAGUAUCAUAUACACUACUAAAUUCUUGUACUCAUGCCACACUUGUGUUUCUAAGUGCUAUGUUCUUGUUCUCAUGCCAAAUGCCACACUUGUUUUCUAAGUAUUCUAGACUCAUCAAUGCCACUUGUUAGAUCUAUGUCAUGGUGUCACUUUUGUUUACUAAUCCUUCUAGGUUCUUGUCACAUUCAUGCAUACAUAGGGAUUAUCAUUCUCACAUUCUUACAAGUAUUUAACAUGCAUUUGAAUUUACAUCAUGCUAUAAAAAGUUCACAAUUUAAUCCUAUUAUGCAAAAUGCUCAAAUAUGUACAUAUGCUCAAAACAUGACACUUAGACAUAAAGGAAUUUUCGAGGUCCUUGGAAUGCACCACCCACCUGGUGAGCUAUAAGAAAGCGAUCUCGAUAAUCUCCAAGCUCUAUCGAACACCGAAUUCGCAUCCUAUAACCAAGAAAGUGCCCAAAUUAGGCCCUGUACACAUGAACCGUACUUAGACAUUUUCGUUUCGACAAACGGGCUUGUCCAACAUGUCGGGAAUACCCCCAAUUAGAUUUCUACGGGGUCAAUUCGCCCCCGAAAAAUCCUAGGGCAAAAGCCCCAAAUUUGGUGCCCUAACGAAACCCAUUGCUAAACCCUAGGUUUUGAUCUCUAAAACAAGCAAAAGAAAGCUUGUCUAACCUCUGGAAGCUCAUUUAGAACCAUCCCAACCAUCUCUAGGGCUUAGAAUGCAAACCCUAGAAAUCCUCCAUUAGAGCACCGUGAAGAAAACUAGGGUUUCAUGGUGUUCAUGGCUCUAACAUGCUUCUAAAACCUCUAAGAAGCUCAAAACUCCAAAACUUAGGGUUUAAAUCCUAACCCUAGAAGAUAUCUUGCAAAAACUUACCUCUAGUCCCAAGCUCUACCAAGGCCUUCUUGUAGAAGAGCUUCUAGUUCUUCAAAUCCUCCUGAAAUCCCUUCUCCAAGCUCCUUCUCCUUCUUCUCCUUGCUCUAGGGCAACCUUCUAGAGAUAGAAAGAGGAAAAAAUGAGAGAGAGAGGUGUGUGUGUGUGUGUUUGCUGUGAAAAGGGGAGAGGAUUGGUAUAUUUUACAUGUUGCUAUAAUAGCAACUAGGCCCCUCAACUUUCUAUUCUGCAGCAGACCAACCGUUGCUGCCAGAGCCACGGCGUACCGGUACACGGGCUCCCGUACCGGUACGAGGCCGCGCAAAUGCCAACCCGAGAGCAGAGUCCUCUCGAGUGCGCAGGGUUUGUACCGGUAAACGGGGUCUCGUACCGGUACACCACCCAAACUGCCCAGACCCGAGUGCAGCUAGUGCUUGGGUCGCUUGCUGUACCGGUACAACCACCAUAGUGUACUGGUACACAAUGCUCCAGAGUGCUGUUUUGGUUUCGACUCGACUCUAUUUCGCGCCGUUCGAUGCCUAAACCAUUCCAACACUUCUUAAACUCAUUUUUACCCUUCCAACCUUAUUGGAAUGCAAAAUGGAACUUGUCCAACCAUUUGUCUCGGCGCUUUAACCAAUUUGGUUAAAGUUUGAUAAUCGCUAUUGAGGUUUCGAUACGUUACAUUCUCCACCCCUUAAAAUUAGUUUCGUCCGCGAAACUUACUUAAUUUAGACUUAAACUCAUAUCUCAAUUCAGCUCGUUAAAGAGGUGAGGAUAAUGCUCCCGUAUUGCGCUCUCGAGCUCCCAAGUAGCUUUCCGAUCAUCGUGAUUGCACCAACGAAUCUUAACAUACGGAAUCUCGGAUUUCGUAGUUUUCGAUCGAUGAUGUAUGCCGGGAACUCCUCAUAGGUUAUGUGUCACGCCCCGGGACCCAGCGGAAGCCCGCCCGGCGCGUGUCCAGACCCGCCAUAUGUCUACAACAUAUAAGGCGUCUAAAAACAACGAUAAUAAAAGCAAUAAUAAAAGACAUCCAGGAAUAUCAGAGCAUAGUAAAUGUCUAAUAGCUACAACAAGAGAUAUGGAUAAAACUGUAAAACCACUAAAUAAAACAUAAAGCGANUGGCCGGUUCGAAUGCGUCGAACAGACGCCGAACGGACAGAGCCUUCCCUGUCCGCCCAAGGCUCCACAGCAUAUAUCAAUAGAGUAAAAAUUGCAUAAGCGGAAACAUACGCAAUGACUUGCACGAGGGCAAGCAAUAGCCAAUAGUGAAAAUAAUAAACUACACUUAGGAAAUCAAUUACAAUUUUGCAUCAUUUCUUCUCUUUUACAUCGCAUGAUCUCAAAUAUAAAUUCUUGCAUUUAAACAUAAACUCUUUUUACAUUAUUCAUUUAACAUGUUCAUAAUAGUAUAAUCAUCAAGAUACAAAAGAUGAUGUAUAAGUAGAGGGUAUGCGACUACAAAAUGAUAACCACUCGGGAGGUCUCUAACUAGGGCGCGAUGCCCUUACCGCGAUCGUCAGCCGGCUCGCUCGGUCCCCGCUCUAUGGAACUAGGGGUGUGAGAACUACAACAAAGUUUUCAGUGGGUUCGGCAACCAACCACGCCGACUAUCCCACUAGGGUUAAUCAGGCAUAAUAGAAUAGGGGAAAGAAAGUAACUAACUAACAAAUGCAACUAAUAUGUUUGAACAAUGUAAAAUACGAUGCUCGAUAUAAUGCUCAUGAUGAAUGCAGAAUCAUAAUUUCUUUACCCAAUCUCUUGGCUAACCCGUAGGUUUCACCCUCAACAAACUCACCGACCCAAAAUCCUAACAACCGGGGAGAUACCCGCUACAACCCGAUAGGACUGUCCUCUGGGGAGAUACCUACUACAAUCCAGUGAUGUCAAUUCCGGAGCACAUCGCCCGAAGGGGAGCUACCAUCCUCGAGCAAGGACUAAAAUUGAGUACGAUUAAUCCUACAUUGAGGAUUCCAAGUUCAAUCUAUUCCUUAACUUUAAGGAAGACCAUGCUCAAAUGACCCUUAACUCUAAGGUUGAAAUGUCAUAAUGUCUCAAUCAUUCUUUUCUUUACAUUCUUUACUAUCACUAGUGUCAUAUACACUAAUAAGUUCUUGUACUCAUGCCACACUUGUUUUCUAAGUGCUAUGUUCUUGUUCUCAUGCCAAAUGCCACACUUAUUUUUUAAGUGUUCUAAACUCAUCAAUGCCACUCGUUAGAUCUAUGUCAUGGUGUCACUUUUGUUUACUAACCCUUCUAGGUUCUUGUCACAUUCAUGCAUACAUAGGGAUUAUCAUUCUCACAUUCUUACAAGUAUUUAACAUGCAUUUGAAUUUACAUCAUGCUAUAAAAAGUUCACAAUUUAACCCUAUUAUGCAAAAUGCUCAAAUAUGUACAUAUGCUCAAAACAUAACACUUAGACAUAAAGGGAUUUCCGAGGUCCUUGGAAUGCACCACCCACCUGGUGAGGUAUAAGAAAGCGAUCUCGAGAAUCUCCAAGCUCUAUCGAACACCGAAUUCGCGUCCUAUAACCAAGAAAGUGCCCAGAUUAGGCUCUUUACACAUGAACCAUACUUAGACAUUUUCGUUUUGACGAACGGGCUUGUCCAACGCGUCGGGAAUACCCCCAAUUAGGUUUCUACGGGGUCAAUUCGCCCCCAAAAAAUCCUAGGGCAAAAGUUCCAAAUUUGGUGCCCUAACCAAACCCAUUGCUAAACCCUAGGUUUUGAUCUCUAAAACAAGCAUAAGAGAACUUGUCUAACCUCUGGAAGCUCAUUUAGAACCAUCCCAACCAUCUCUAGGGCUUAGAAUGCAAACCCUAGAAAUCCCCCAUUAGAGCACCAUGAAGAAAACUAGGGUUUCAUGGUGUUCAUGGCUCUAACAUGCUUCUAAAACCUCUAAGAAGCUCAAACUCCAAAACUUAGGCUCCGUUUGGAUCGGGAAUUAGUAGGAACUAGUUAUACCGGGAAUAGGUACAAGUAUGAGUUUUUGUAGGAAUAAGGAUAUUUUUUUGUUUGGAUGAAAUUGUGAGUAUAAGCUGGAACUAGAAAAAUUGUGUUUGGAUGGUUUUUGAGAAUAAGAGGAAUAGUUGGUAGUUAUAAAUAGAAAAUAAUAAUAUUAUCCCUAUAAUUGAAUUUUAAACUUAUAAUUUUAAAUUUUAAAUUUUAACUUUUAAAUUUAAAUUAGAAAUUAAAAUUUUAAAUUUUAAUAUUAAAAAUAUUAAUUUUAAAUAUCAAAUUUUAAAUUUCAGACCAAAUUUAAAUUUCAAAGAUAUAAAAUAACAAAUUUAAAAUUUAAACUUUAAUAAAAUUUAAAAUUUGAAAACUUAAAAAUAUCAAAUUUAAAAUAUCAAAUUUAAAAUUUAAACUUUAAUAAAAUUUAAAAUUUGAAAACUUAAAAAUAUCAAAUUUAAAAUAUCAAAUUUAAAAUUUAAACUUUAAUUAAAUUUAAAAUUUUAAUUUUUAAAAUUUUAAUUUUAAAUAUCUAAUUUUAAAUUUAGGACCAAAUUUAAAUUUGAAAGAUAUAAAAUAUCAAAUUUAAAAUUUAAACUUUAAUAAAAUUUAAAAUUUGAAAACGUAAAAAUAUCAAAUUUAAAAUUUAAAAUUUUAAAAUAUCAAAUUUAAAAUUUAAAAUUGUAAUUUAUUAAUUAUAAUUAUAAAAUUAUAAAUUUUAAAAAUCUCUCUCUCUUUCUCUCUCUCUCUCUCUCUCUCUCUCUCUACUCAAGUGGGUUGGAACAAGCUUGGGAACAAGCUUGUUCCAACCCCGGGUGGGAACAAGUGUUCCCACCAUAACGGGUUGUACCUGGUACAACCCGUUAUGGUCGGAACACUUGUUCCCACCAUUUUUUUUUUUGUUUGGGUAUAAAGGGGGGGAUAUCCCCCUUAUCCCCCCCUUUAUACCCGAGCCAAACGGAGUGUUAGGGUUUAAAUCCUAACCCUAGAAGAUAUCUUGCAAAAACUUACCUCUAGUCCCAAGCUCUACCAAGGCCUUCUUGUAGGAGAGCUUCUAGUUCGUCAAAUCCUCCCGAAAUCCCUUCUCCAACUCCUUCUCCUUCUUCUCCUUGCUCUAGGGCAACCUUCUAGAGAGAAAAAGGAAGAAAUGAAAGAAAGAGGUGUGUGUGUGUUUGCUUUGAAGAGGGGAGAGGAUUGGUAUAUUUUACAUGUUGCUACAAUAGCAACUAGGCCCCUCAACUUUCUAUUUUGCAGCAGACCAACCCUUGCUGCCAGAGCCAUGGUGUACCGGUACAUGGGCUCCCGUACCGGUACAAGGCCACGCAGAUGCCAACCCGAGAGCAGACUCCUCUCGAGUGCGCAGGGUUUGUACCGGUACACGGGGUCCCGUACCGGUACGCCACCUAGACUGCCCAGACCCGAGAGCAGCUAGUGCUCGGGUCGCUUGCUGUACCGGUACAACCACCAUGGUGUACCGGUACACAAUGCUUCAGAGUGCUGUUUUGGUUUCGACUCGACUCUAUUUCGCGUCGUUCGAUACCAAAAUCAUUCCAACACUUCUUAAACUCAUUUUUGCCCUUCCAACCUUGUUGGAAUGCAAAAUGGAACUUGUCCAACCAUUUGUCUCGGCGCUUUAACCAAUUUGGUUAAAGUUUGAUAAUCGCUAUUGAGGUUUCGAUACGUUACAUUCUCCACCCCUUAAAAUUAGUUUCGUCCGUGAAACUUACUUAAUUUAGACUUAAACUCAUACUUCAAUUCAGCUCGUUAAAGAGGUGAGGAUAAUGCUCCCACAUUGCGCUCUCGAGCUCCCAAGUAGCUUCCCGAUCAUCGUGAUUGCACCAACGAAUCUUAAUAUACGGAAUCUCGCGAUUUCGUAGUUUUCUUACUUUUCGAUCGAUGAUGUAUGCUGGGAACUCCUCAUAGGUCAUGUCCUCUUGAAUCUCGGACGGUUCGAACGAGAGGACAUGAUCGGGGUCGUGAACAUACUUGCGGAGAUUCGAUACAUGAAAUACAUCGUGCACUCCCACAAGCCUCGGUGAUAAUGCUAUCUUGUAGACCACCGCACCAACGCAUUCCAAUAUCUCGAACGGUCCAAGAUACCGGGGACUUAGUUUCCCACGGACUCCAAACCGUUUAAUUUCUCGCAUCGGCGAUAUCUUUAAGAACACGUGGUCUCCAACGGCAAACCCUAUGUCUUUCCUCCGUCUGUCGGCAUAGCUCUUCUGCUGAAACUGCCCCGUAGCAAGUCGUUGGCGGGCUAGGCGAAUUUUCUCCUCCGCCUCCCGCACUACAUCCGGGCCAAGAGCAGCUCUCUCGCCCACAUCGCUCCAAUGAAUUGGGGAGCAACACUUCUUUCCAUAAAGGGCCUCGAAUGACGCCAUUGCGAUACUUUCUUGAUAGCUGUUAUUGUACGCGAACUCCGCCAGUGGUAGAUGAUCGUGCUAACUGCCCUUGUAGUCCAGUACACACGCUCGGAGCAUAUCCUCAAGUAUUUGUAUCGUCCUUUCCGAUUGACCAUCACUCUGAGAAUGAAAUGCCGUGCUAAAAUCGAGCCGUGUGCCCAAAGCCUCUUGUAGGCUCCUCCAAAAAUGAGAUGUGAAUCUCGGGCCCCGAUCCGAUACAAUUGACACCGGAACCCUGUAAAGCCUCACAACCUCGUCAAUAUAAACCUGAGCCAACUUGUCCCCCGACUAUGUAAUAUGAAUCGGUAGGAAAUGUGCCGACUUCGUCAACCGGUCUACUAUCACCAAAAUUACAUCGUGUCCCCCUCGAGAUCGAGGCAAUCCGGUCACGAAGUCCAUUGCGAUAUUUUUCCAUUUCCAAACGGGUAUAGGUAGACUUUGCAAUUUUUCCGCCGAAAAACGCCGCUCCGCUUUUACCUGUUGGCAGGUAAGACAUUGCGCAACAAACUCCCCAAUGUCCUUCUUCAUGCCCGGCCACCAAUAGUGCAAUUUCAAAUCUUGAUACAUUUUGGUGCCGCCCGGAUGUAUAUUAUAAGGAGAUUGGUGCGCUUCUUGCAUAAUCGCCCUGCGGAUGUCCUUGUUCUUAGGUACACACCAACGGUUUCUAAAUCGGAGUGCACCGUCGGUCCCAAUGCCAAAACCAUCGGCACUACCGUUCUUAACUUCACCGCGCACCUUUUGGAGAUACUCAUCGGAAGCUUGCAGUUCUUUUAUCCUCUCCAACAAGGUCGGUUGCACCACUAACGCGGCUAGUGUAGCCGGCACUCCCGGUGCCACUACUUCCAAACCAAGCCGUUGCGUCUCUUUUUGCAAUAAUAGUUGGGGUGUAAUUGCCGAAGCCAAAUUUUUUUUCGAUUUUCUACUAACUGCAUCGGCCACGACAUUCGCCUUCCCGGGGUGGUAUAGAAUAGUAACAUCAUAGUCUUUUAGCAAUUCCAACCACCGCCGUUGUCGCAUAUUUAGCCCCCUUUGGGUGAAUAAGUACUUAAGACUUUUGUGAUUCGUAUAGAUCUCAUAAUGUUCCCCGUAUAAGUAAUGCCUCUAUAACUUUAGCGCGAAAAUAACAGCCGCUAGCUCAAGAUCGUGAAUCGGGUAGUUCUUCUCAUAAGUCUUCCAUUGGCAUGAAGCAUAUGCUAUAACUCGACCGUUUUGCAUCAAAACACACCCGAUUCCAACGUAGGAAUCAUUACUAUAUACCACAAAGGUCUCCCCCAGCGUCGGUAGAGCAAACACCGGGGUCGUGGUCAAUCUUUUUUUUAAUUCCUCGAAGCUUCGCUCGCAUUUGCGGCUCCAAACAUACUUCACCUCUUUGUGUGUAAGGCGCGUUAGUGGAGUAGUUAUUUUAGCAAACCCCUCCACGAACCGCCGGUAUUAGCCCGCUAGCCGAAGGAAACUGCGGACUUCCGAUAUGCUCGUCGGGCGAGGCCAAUCUCUAAUUGCCUCAAUUUUCUUCGGGUCCACCAAGAUACCAUCGCCCGAAAUUACAUGACCAAGGAAAGUGACCUCCGAUAGCCAAAAGUCGCAUUUCUUCAACUUGGCNNNNNNNNNNNNNNNNNNNNNNNNNNNNNNNNNNNNNNNNNNNNNNNNNNNNNNNNNNNNNNNNNNNNNNNNNNNNNNNNNNNNNNNNNNNNNNNNNNNNGCCAAGUCGGUGUUGGGGUUGUCCUGGAUAUCCAACCACCAACGGUAGGCCUUGCCGUCCAGAAAGUGAGUGGCGAGCCAAAUUCUAUCCCGCUCCUCCACAAAGGUGUCUCGAAACAGCUUCUCCAUAUGCAUCAACCAUUUUUCGACAAUCCAGUGGUCGAUGUUCUCACCAUCAAACGUCCUCGGGUUGCACCUCCUGAACUCACUGAGGCGCUCCAUGAGCCGAUCCCGCUCGGCUCCCUCGGCCAUCACGGAAAAUGCCGCCCCCGUCACUGGUCUCUGAAAAGGUAGUGCUGCAGCCACCUCCUCCCGAGGUGCGGUCGCCAGUGCCGCACGUGAAGAACUGGGCGCGGGGGACUGCGCCCUCGGUGCUACGUCAACCACGGGUGCUGGCGGUGUGGGACCCUGGGUCUCCCUCGAAGCUGCCNNNNNNNNNNNNNNNNNNNNNNNNNUAGGCUAACUCCGGAGUGCCGGCUUGUAGGGAGCGACCCUCACAAGCAUGUGCGAAUGAGCACAAAUGGCAAGCAAGCAUAGUCCAAGUCUCAAAUAUCCAAUCCUCAUGUCUCUAACAUGGUAUCAUAACUAGCAUCCCGAAGAUCUAGUCUAAGUCAUAAGAUGAAGUUCCAACAUUCAUUACGCCUAGUGCCCCUUGAUGACACUUAGACAAUCUAAUGUUCAACAUAUACCCAAUCCCUCAAUGGCUCUAACCACUAGGUUCACACAUGUCCCGAGCUCAAUGCCGCUUGAUGACAUUAGCUCUCCAAUUCACAUACAUUCUAGUUCGAUAGCUCUAUAUGGCAAUUUUGUCAACUUUCAUGUCCCAAAUAAACUUAGGUUUAAAUGCAUGAAUCCAAUCUCACUUACACUAUAGGAGGAUGGAACCACGUCUCAUAUAGAAUGCUAAGAGCAACUAUAGGCCUACCAAGCUACUCUCUACUACAUAGAGGUCCAAAAUUUCAUCAUAUAUAACAUAGGCCUUUUAAGCAUUCUAAAAUUCACAAUAAAUACAUAUAACAAGAAUAUGCAUGCUUUUUCAUUUAACAAUACUUCAUUAAACACAAAUGAGAAUUUCUCAUUGUGUGGCUAGGUCAAACCCACCGAACCGUCGCGUAGGGCCUCGUUUCGCCGAACAAAGUUGCCCCAGAGUCUCAAAAUACCCUAAGAGCCCGUUUGGUUCGAGUUAUGUAAUAUUACAAAGUAUCUCGACAUAUCCAGGUAUCUUGGAUUUCGGCGUGAGAUUACUACUGAUGCUGCAUUAGAGCGUUUGGUUUAAUACAGUAAUGUAAUACUAGAUUACAGUGUUUAUAGCAUUAAUAUGUUUGAUUCAGUUUAUAAAAUUUAGUAAUCCUAAUAUAAAAAUAUAGUUUUUUCCAAAAUUGUCCUUGUUGUGAUGAUUUGAAUAUUAUUUUUUGCGGAAAUGACGAAUGGAGGGAAGGAGAUCGUGAUGAUUACUUGGGAGGACGACGUAAUAGAAGAUGAUAGGUGUUCGUGCGCGCGCGCGCGCGCGAGAGACGUCGAGAGACGUCGAGAGAGAGAGAGAGAGAGAGAGAGCGAGAGAAAGCGGCGUGCGAGAGAGAGGGCCGGGGAGAAGGCGAGAAAGAGAUGAAAAUAAUGCUGUUAAUUAGAUUUGUGAUUGUUGGAGGUAAAAUUAUUAUUUUACACAAUAUGUAGUAUUAACGGGUUUCAGUAAUGCAAGAUACACAACCCCCCUCCCGUUAAUAUUUUCGAUGUAAUCCUACUCGAUUUGUAAUGCUACAUUAACGACUAGAUUACAUAGUGGAUUAACCAAACACAGUUAUCCUGACAGGAUUGCCUGUAAUCCUGUCAGGAUAACUCGAACCAAACACACCAUAAAAGUAAUCAGCGAAGAGAUACGAGAGCAUUACGACCAACCAAGAGAUCAAACAUUAACCUAUAAGCAAAAAGGGCCAAAAUUCACCUCAAGAGGAGAAAAUCUCUCUCAAGCUCCAAAAGAGAGCUAAAUCCCUUCCAAUCCAAGCCCAAGAAAGGUUCUAAUCCAACCAAUCUAGCCCCAAAAGCCCUAGAUGAAAAAGCCCCAAAAAUCAACCCUAAUACCCAAUCUAGGGUUUUAAAUGGUAAAACCUACCAAAUCAAGGAUCAAAGGGUAGAAUCCAAGUACUAACCUCCCAAGAUGCCUCCAAACAAGCUCCAAAUCUUCUAGGGUUGAAGAUUGAUCCACCACCAAACCCUACAAGCAAGCUCCAAGCCUUGCAAAGGUGGGAAAGAGAGAAAGGGGUUGAGCUCCAAGCUCCCUCAAGCUAGCUCCUCUUCUUCUUCUCCUCCUUCUUCUUCUUCUUCUCUCUCUAGAAAGUGUAGGGAGAGGGUGAGAAUGAGAAAAUGAGAGAGGGAAGAGGAGGAAAUGGCUAAUAAGCCCAUCUAGUGUAACAAAAUCCGGAGAGGCCCCUCAAAAUUUCAAUAUUACCCCAGCCCGGUCUGGGCAGUUUUCGCCCAAAGGGACCGGUCUCUCCCCAGUAGGAACCGGUCUCUCGCUGCGAACCCGAAGAACCAACGUUCGGGAACCGGUCUCUCCCCGCGCGGGACCGGUCUCUCUCUGCGAAGGCGCGCUCGGGGACCGGUCUCGCCCGCCAGGGACCGGUUGCCUCAGGGCUGCCGCAGCACUGUUCACUGGGGGACCGGUCUCUCCUAUCAGGGACCGGUCCCUGAGAGCAAAAACUCUCAAGACUUGUCCAGAAUUCCAGUUUUUGAACUUUUUAGGUCUGAAAACAUUCUACGACCCUCCACCAAGUGUGGAAAAGCUCGAAACACAUCCAAACACUCGAACCUCGCAAUUUGGAAAGGUCCAGUGUAUUACACGUGCCCGGGUCGGCCCAAAUUGGUAUCAGUCCAGGGGCGUGACAUGAUCACUGUGAUCAGCACUGACCAGUGAUCGCCGUGCUCACCUCCGUAGGCAUUGGGAUAGCCUCUGGUCGCUGGAAAAAUAAGCACAAACUCAAAACUAUGCACAUGCAGCACUAAAUAAAGGUCACCGGGCAGAGAGGGCUCGGAUCCAACCGGCGGCGACUCGACGGCGGGAGCGUCAGCGACAGGGGGGUGCGGCCGGUGGGGGAAGGUCGCCGCUCACGCGAGUUGCCGGCGGCAGGUAGUCGGAGGGGCGGGCGGCGAUGCCCUAGGAGAAGGGAGGCAGCGAGCGACGGCGGCGGCGGCACGCAGCUCAGGCGUGGCCACCCGAGCUUGGCUCGGUCUUAGGGCCGCAGCGGCAACGCCCUAGGCUUGCGGCUGCGCCAAUCGCACGGACCGGAAGUGGGGGUGCCGGAGGGCCACGAGGGUGGUUGCCGGUGCAGCUUCGGGCAGUGGCGGUGCUGGGGAAAGAAAGCAGCUUAGCUCGGCCCGAGCUUGUCCAGGGAGACUGCAGGGCUGCAGCAGCGCGGCAGUGGUGAUCGGGGUAGCUGAGGCUAGUAGGGGAGAUCAUCGGGGCUCCGGGGGAGGCGACUUGAGCGACCUCAGGCGGCGGUGGCGCGAGGGGAGGGAGCUGAAGCUCCAUCGGCCCGAGCUGCCACAACUUGGCUGCAGAGUGGUUGCAACGCGGCAGUGGCAUUCGGGGGCAGCAACGACCGGCCGUGGGAGGUCGCCGGAGCUCAGGGGUGAUGCCGUAGUGGGGCUAGAGGGAGGGGAGUGCCGAGCACCACCUUCAGCCAAAGAAGACAAGCAGGAAAGUAGUGGAGGAGACAAAAAAGAAGGAGGAAGUGGCUGAGGCUGCGGCUGCCGGCCGCGGUUCGGUCUGUUGCGGCCGGAAGGCGCGCGGCGCACGAGGUGAGGGGGAAGAGGCGGCUGGGAGUCAGCUGGGGGCUAGGGUUAGAGUUUGCAUUGUGCAAAUCCCUAGAAAACUAUAUAUACAAAACUCUAAAUUGAGCAAAAGCCCCUGAAAAUCCGAUAUUUAACACUAAGUCCCUCACAGCACAAGUAAAACGCGCAAACCCACUCUUACAUUCAAAUUCACGCAAAACAGUACAUAAAAUGUAGAGCUUAUCGCAAAAUUACCGUUUUUCCAUCUAAGACCCCUUCUCGAUCAAUGCACGAUAUCAAGAGAUCCGUCCAUCAGAUUUGCAAACGGAUCGCACCAGUUCGAUUAGCAUGACAGAGACAUCAAACCCCCAAUUUUGUUUCGCCUGAUUUGGUCGCGGAUUCGCAACGAAACCCAUUCUUUCUCCGAUAGGCAAAGCCACACACAAAUACAUAAAAUAUUUGUAUAUCCAGUUUUCUCGAAAUUCGCACGCCAAACCUAAAAUCCGUCAGCGCCAAUGGUUCCAGGAUAGUUGAACCAUUGAAAACGAGCUAUUGGAUCACUAUGAAUGGAGUCCGAUACGCGCCAGAAGCCAUCUCUACACCGUGGCCUCUCCGGAAAAUCAGGUUACUAUUCACUUUAAGUGAAAAGUAAAGUUCACGUAAAAUCUCCAUUGUAACUCAUUUUCCCCCGAAACAUGGCGAGUACUUUUGUAAUUAAAAUACAUACAAAAGCAUCGUCAACAAAGAGUUUAAUUAUGUUGCGAAAUCUCAGUCCUUACAUGUCAGGACCACAGAUAUUGAGUUUUAUCGAGAUAAGUUAUAUCAGCAGAGAGAGUCCCAGGUACAUAUUAAUGCAACCAUCUUUUUCAAUAUUAUACAAACGUAUUAAUGCAUCCAGCUGACUAUUGGCUUGUUCACAUAUUAUAUGGAGGCCGUACACAGAUGCUAUUAUAGUCACGCUACUGGCAUUUUGUGUACAGGGCAGUUAGGUCUGCCGAUCGAGAACUAUGUUGAUUUAUUUUCAUAUUGUAGAGAUGCAUGUACCGAAUCGAGUCCUACGACGGUUUGGUCUUCUCUGGCCAUCAUAUACCCAUUAACAUGGAGACCAUCCAUUAUGUGACUUCUCAGGGGCGGCAAGACGAGGAUUGGACAAUCUUUCAUGCUGCACACAUCGAGAGAUAGGGAAAGAGAUUACAAAAAUUUUCGACCACCUGUCGAUUGUGUCACACCCCAAUAAUCCCACAUCAGAUAUGAAUGGAGAUGUGAUUGGGUAUAUAAGAAACUUAGACGCUAGUAAUAAUAACUGGACUUAAGCAUUUUAGGCCGGUGGUUGGGCCUAACGAGUUAUUAUUGCUAGUGGGCUGGGUCGUUAUAUUUGGUAUCAAAGCUAGUUUACCAGUCAAAAAUGUGUGGCGAGUCUUUGCUGAGUCAAGGUCUAAAAGACAAGGUGAUAGGCUAUGCCGGAGUCUGAAUGACAAGGUAACCAGCUAUGCCAGGGUUUGGAUGACAAGACUAGCGAGACAAGUCUCACAUCGCCUGGUGAUCUUGGACAGUGUGUGUGAUUGGACUGACGAGGACGUUAGGGCCUUAACGGAGGGGAGUCUAUCACACCCCAACAAUCCCACAUAGGAUAUGAAUAGGGAUGCGAUUGGAUAUAUAAGAAACUUAGACAUUAGUAAUAAUAACUGGGCUUAAGUAUUUUGGGCCGGUGGUUGGGCCCAACGAGUUAUUAUUGCUAGUGGGCUCGGUCGUUAUAGAUUGUUGGUAAUAAUCCAAUACAGGCUUCCUCCAUUUACAUGCAGUGGUAUUGGGCGAUAACGAGGAGAUGGAUUUCUCGUCCAAUACAGCGUCCUUCGUUGACUUUCCAGCCUCAUGGGCAGACCGAGAGAGUUUUGAUAUAAUUAGUCAUAUAUUAAUUAUUAUUUUAAUUUUAUAAUUAAUAUAAAUUAGAAAAAAUAAGUUUUUAUCUAUAAUGCACGUGGACGCAUUAUGAUAGACUCACUACAGUAUCAGACAGCUAGUUGAUGAUCCCCCUGCGACCCAUACGAUGCUAGAGACUCUGACGGGCAUCUGUGCCGAUAUUGAGACGGUACUGGAGUAUGUUCUUGCUAUACCUAUUAUUAGGGAUACAAGAGGUCGAGAUUUUGCUCACGCCUCGACAUCCGGUCAUCAGAUGCGACAGUCUCCGUCUUCUAUUGGAUCUCAUUCGACAUUGAGCUAGUGAGUGUCAUAGUCUCCAUCUCCCACUGACGUUGGAGUUAUACCUAACGCCCUUUCGACAUUUUUCUUUGACGUUUGACUAGCUUCUGCCACCAGUGUCGCGUAUGUAUUUUAGAUCCAUGUAUUCUCGUCGUCGUGGCCUGUCAUCAUCACAGCACCGCCCAGCAUCUACAUCGGCCCCUAUCAAGGGUGAUCGACCAGUGCCAGAGGAGACUCAGGCAAUUCCAGAGUAUCAUAAGGGCAUCAUUAUCGCGGAUCUUGAUCAGAUGGCAAGUAUUGAGCCACUUGAUGACGGACCUCCUGUUGAGCUCGAUGUUGAUCGUAGGUGUAGAUGUGGACGUGGGCGUGCACGCGGAUGUGGCCGAGGACGUCGAGGGAGAGGAAGAUCUCAAGAAUGACAUUAUAUGAUUUAGAUCGAAUACGUUGUAUAACAUGUCAAUAUUAUAUACCUCUUUAUUUAGUUCAUAUUUGUAUAACUUUCUAUAUUUUUGUUGAUAUUCCUAUUCUAUUUGUUGUAUCUUGUUGUUCUUCUCGUCUUGUUGUUUUUCUUGCUGAAAUUUUUUUCCUUGUGAAAAUUCUUGCUCCAAACUUGUAAAACUUGUUGUUAAAGACUUUAGAAAAAAAAGGGUGGAUCAGUUUGCAUUAAAGACGAUAAACCAUUCACUGCAUUCAAGAAGACGGUAAAUAGUUCACCGUCUUAUCUAUGUUUCAAUGCCAAGAAAUUCUUCUCUGAAAUUUGUAGGGUUGUACUAAAGGCAGUGAAUGGUUCACCGUCUUAAUGAAGGCGGUGAACCAUUCACCGUCUUAUCUAUGUUUCAAUGCCAAGAUCAAGGACUUAGAAAAUCUUUUCCGAAUUUGUAGAGUUACACUAAAUGCGAUGAAUGAUUCACCGCCUUAGUGAAGGCGGUGAACCAUUCACCGUCUUCAGUCUAAAUAUUACAAAGACGGUGAUUCGUUUACCACCUUAGUGAAGACGGCGAACGAUUCACCGUCAUUCACCGUCUUCAGGGGAAAUAGCUGAUCUGGUGCCUACGUGGUGAAAAGAGGGUUAACUUUUUAAAUAUAAAUUUUAGAAGAUUAUUUCACAAUUUAUAAAUUUUAAGAGAAUUAUUUUGUAAAAAAGUUCCAAAUAUGUCCCAAAAUAGAGGAAAAUGAGAUUGGCUUCGAAACGCCAUGUGGUUAGAAAGCCGUUGGCACAUUUUCACAUUUUGGUGCCACCUGUCACGGACUUAGUGUUUUUGUUCGCAAAAUCCGUGCGGCGCCCACCUUUCCUGCUUGAAGAUGGACAAGCCUUUGUCCCUAUUGCUAGCCCGGACCUUCGCGUCCUACUACUAAGUAUGCAAAGGAAUGAAACAAAAGAAAGAGGCAGAGAUUCUCUCAAAAAGCUAAGUACUACACUACUUAGAAAAUGAGAAUUACAGCAUACAAACAUACUAUCUCUUGUGUGUUUUGGCCUUAGCCAACCCUACUAUUUCUAGGCUAAAUGAUAUAUUGAAUCUAGCCACAUAACUCACCCACUAUCUCAUAGUAAUAAGCCCUCAUAAUAGCCAAAAGUCAAAGAGUCACACCAUAACUCCCAUGAGUUUCAUAACUCUUGAUGUCACGACUCGAGACCGCUACCAAUUUGGCACGGCUCGGGCGCGUCGAACAGACGCCGAACGGACAGCACCUCCCCUGUCCGCCCAAGGCCAACAACCCGAUCAUGUACAAGAAUUUGCCCAGGAAAUAGGAAUUCAUACAUACACGAUUACGAGGGCACAAACAGUGCCAACAAACAAAGAGCAAGAAUCCACAAGCAUAUACAAGUGAAAUAAAGAGAGCUUUUACUAACUAUUACAUCCAUUCGUUCACAAUUUAAGGCUCUUUUACAUUUACAUCACAUCGUUCCCAAAAUGAAUACAUAAUCAUUUUUCCAAAUACAUAGGUGGCUCUCCCAAAAUAUAAAGCAUCUAGAUACAUAAGGGUACUCUAAUGCAAAAGGAAAGCUACUAUGCUACAGCUCGGGCGCUAUGCCCUUGCCGCGGUCCUCGCCCGGCGCACUCGUACUAGGCCCUGCAACAAAGUGGGGUGAGAACUAUUGUCCAUAGUUCCCAGUGGGUUCGGCCGCCGACUCCGCCGAUCUCCCCACUAGGUCCGAGUGGGCAAAAGCAGAUAGAUAGAUAGAUAGAUAUCAAAGCUGUAAAUGCAAUAGUAGGAAAACUAUGCUACUAUGCCCAAUCAUAUGNUGUCAUAUAUGCAUGCAUCAUAUAGUAAAAGGUUUACUAACAUGCUACUACGUCCACUAUACAUGUCCAACAAGCAAAUGUUCAAGUAACAAUGCUAUUCUCAUGUUCAAUCAAUCCUUGGCGAUCCACUUGAGUUCGCCCACGACUCACCUCAAACCUCGUAUGGUAAGGAGACGCACCUCGCUCUCAAACCCGAGGCCGCCUGCAGGGCAUCAACUCUGCUCCUGUCGCACCAUACUCCGGAGUGCACGAAGACCCGGGUGGUGCGACCACCACAAGUAUGAACAGACUGUGAGCAUGAUCAAUCCUCUCAACUCGAGGAUACCCUAUCAACUGUAGGGUUACAAGUCACUAGGGAAUCCACCUAUCCCAAAGUCCAAAUACAAUGUUUGGCUACAUUAUAUUCUUGUCCAACGAGUCAUUUACUAGAGAAUUCACCUGUCCCUAAGUUCACAUGCCACUAGUGUCAUUAUACACUACAUUAUAUGCCACUCAUUCUUGUUUAUUUAACAGUCAAUGCCACUCAUUACGUCUUUAACAAUCAUCAAGUUCAUCUCUUUUCUCGGCACUAUAGAAUUCAAUGUCAAGAUCCAAUCCUCAUCUAACCAUCACCAUGCAUUCAACUCAUACAUAGAUAUCAUUAGCAAGCAUAAGGAAAGGAAUCACAUGCAAUUCUACAAUGCUACAUGCAAGAAAUGCAAAUCGUGAAGUUCUAAGACAUAGAGAGGAACCCGGUUGCUUCGGGAUGACACCACCCACCUUUCGACGAUGUCGGGGUGCUAGAAUCACUUCUCGGCACUUGUUACGACGAAAUCUCCACCUCCAAGAAGAAAAUGAAGCUUGCUCGGCCUUGUUUUGCCGAUAACUUUUCACCGGCUCGACGAAUGCUCAAUCUGUCAUCGCCAACGCGUUUAGACACCUAACAAUUAGAUUUAGAUGCCCUUAAAUGAGAUCAAUUUCAUAGAUUUCCAAAAACCCCAAAUUGGAGCCCUAGGUUUGCAUCCAUGCAAAAUGCUCCAACAAAAUUCUAAAUUCUAGCAUUAAUCAACUAUUUAGCAUGCUAGGAGUCCAUUUGACCCAUUUACAAAGCUAGAAAUCCAAUCCCUAGGUUCCUACCAUUGUUGAGCUCAAAAGCUUACCUCUAAGCUAGCUCCAAUGGUGUGAGCAGGAAGAGGAGAUGGAGAUGAUCUCUUCCCAAGCUUGCUUCUCCUUCUUCUCCUUUUUCUUUGCUUCAAGAGAGAAGGGAGAGAGCUAAGAGAGAGAGAGAGUGUGUGUGUUUGGGGUGGAAAUGAGAGAGAAAAGAGGGCCCAACCCCUCUAUGCCCCUCAACUAAUGGCAUAAUUACAGCCAAGCCCCUCUACUUUGCACUCUGUGCACUGCUUGGAUUGGGCAGUUUUCGCGCCCAGGGACCGGUCUGUCCCUUAAGGGACCGGUCCCCGAGAGCAGUCCAUGCAGGCAGAGGGCUCUGCCCAACUCCUACGCGCACGGGGAAGGGUCUUCCUCGCCAGGGAUCGGUUUCCGAGAGCAACACUCUCAGGCUGCGUUUGGUUCGGGUAUAAGUAAGAACUGCUAGUUCCAGGGAUAGGUACAAGUUCAGAUAUAAACAAGAACUAGACCAAUUUUGCGUUUGGAUGAAAAUUGGGUUGUUUCUAGGAAUAAGGUAAAUAGUGUUUGGAUGUUUAGAUUGGAAAAAGAGGAAUAACAAUUAUAAUUUGAAAUUAAAAUUAUAUUAUGUAAUUAAUUAACAUCAAAAUAUUAUUUAAAAAUAAAUAAUAAAUUAAUUAUUAAUAAUUAAUUAUAAAUAAUAAUAAUUAUUAGUAAUUAAUUAUAAAUAAUAAAUUAAUAAUAAUAUUGAUUAUCUAAUUAUUAAUAAUAAUUAAUAUUAAUAUUCAUUAAUAAUUAUUAAUAAUUAAUUAUAAAUAAUAAAUUAAUAAUAAUAUUGAUUAUCAUUAAGAAUAAUAAUUAUUAAUAAUUAUUAAUAAAUAAUAAUAAAUAAUAUUAAUUAUUAAUAAUUAAUUAUAAAUAAUAAUAAUUAUUAGUAAUUAAUUAUAAAUAAUAAAUUAAUAAUAUCGAUUAUCUAUUUAAUUAUUAUUAUUAUUAUUAAUUAUUAAUAAAUAAUAAUAAUUAUUAAUUAUUCUUAUUAAUUAAUUAUAAAUAAUAAAUUAAUUAAUUAAUUAAUUAUUAAAGCAAUAAAUAAUGAUUUAAAUAUAUUAAUUAGAUUAAUUAAUAAUGUACUGCCAUUAAAAUUAAAUUUAGAUUUUAAUUAACCUUGUUCUCAUCAAGGAACAAGCUAGUUCCAGGAAACGGGUGGAACAGCAGUUCCAGCCUUAUACCAGCUUGUUCCAGAAACCCGGAAACUACUGUUCCCGGGAACCAAACAUACCGUUUGGGAACAAAGGGGGGAACAAGGGCUUAUUCCCCUCUUUAUUCCUGAACCAAACGCUACCUCAGGACUUAGCCGAUUUUCCACUUCUCUUCACUGGCUGCGCGUACGGGGACCGGUCUUCGACUGAGGGACUGGACCUUCAGGGACUGGUCCUCGCCCGAGAGACUGGACCCUGAGAGCAAAUAUCGCGCGCAGAGUUCUCUGUCUCGUUUUCAGCUUACGGGGACCGGUCUCUCCCGCCAGGGACUGGUCCCAAGAGCAGAAUUUGCCAAGUGCAGAUUUCGCACUGUUUGCUCUCGCGGAUCCAACUCCAAUGCACUUUUUGUGUUUUGGACACCUUCGGCUUUUCCGAAGCCUACCCACUCGACAAUUAGUUGAUUCUGAGCGAAAUCUAACUCUUGGAUUUCGAAAAUUUAUUUUCUUACACUUGAGUUUUCCAUAAUGGAUUGGGUUUGGAUCUCCUUAAUAAUCCGAUUCAAUCUGUUUUCAACCCGUUUCGCUAGCAGCCAGGACCGGGCUGCUUAGAAUUUUUUCUAAGUCCCCGACAAGCCGCCGUUUGGGAUAGUAAUUCUUCUGGUCCACCGCUCAUCAGCGUGCGUAAGCAGCUCCAAAGCUAACGUCUGAGAGCGCCGAUGACGAUCGAGCUCCUACCCUCCAUCCGUCUCAUCUGCAUCCCACUCACAUCUCGAGCUUUUCUUCUUCCUCCCCCUCCCUCCUCUCUCCGUCUCCUGUCAAAUUUCGUGAGGAACCCUCGAGGCGCGAGAAUCCUCCUUACUCCAUGGAAGCUGGGUCCGCUCGAACCACCUCGGAGGAGGGUCUCAGUGAGCUGCUCCUCCUCCUCCUCCUCCUCCUCGGCCGAGCACCGAGACGGCGGAGGAAUGGCCUGGUGGGCUUCUUGGAUUCCUCGCGGAGGCAGCGGCAGCUUUGUCGCCCCCGAGAGGAUUCUGAGGCUCAUCUCGGGCGCCACUUCGAGCCCCAUCUGUCAGUUCGUUGACUCACCUCGCACCUUCCUCCACUUUGUCGACCCACGGAUCAAAUUGGUAUGUGGGCAUUUUUGCUCUUGGCUAUUUUCCGUUGUUCCCAAGAUAAGGUCAAGUGUUUUCUACCAUGUAUUUUAUUUAAUUACUUUGUAGGAUUACUUCUUAGUGAUUGACACAGGCUUAGCAUGAUAAUGCUUAAUCAAAGGAAGCAGCUGUGGCUGCAUGCAUCACUGAAACGAGAUAUGAGCGUCCAAGCAAGCUCUGAUGGGUGUGGUUGGUAGAAAAUUUCGCUGGCACACAUGGUGCUAUCCGAGUUGUCUGCCGACGGGUUUGUCGUUCCAUGCUAAAGGCGUGAUUUGACUUGAGUUCAGAUGCAGACUGGAGAGGGAACUGUUUGCUCGGGUUUGAGCUCAAGGAAAGGCCUCAAGAUCUUUGCCAGUGCGAGUCGAAGGUUCAAUGCUUUGGCUUCUGAGCUUUGGCUGCUGUUCGGGUUGAAGUGGCGAACCGGACUGCUGUACAGCAACAAUCCUGGGGAAUCGGUAGGUCGGUGCAGAUAGGCGCAGGGGGGUACGUUCGGAGUGGUACGGUCAUCGAGGACGAUGUCAGUGCGGGACUGAACGGUGGUGGAGACUAUGUUAAGGCUACUCCUAGAUUACGUAAUAGCUACUCCUAAGCUAUGUUAUGGCUAUUCCUAGUCCUUGGAUGUGAGAUGUAGACUGACGUCUGUGAUGUGAUGUUCGGAUUCCCUGCCAUGUUGUUGUCUUCAUCCUUUAUAGGUGCAUCGGCGCAAUCGACAAAGUAACUCCCGCAAUUCAUCACCUUUUUUUCUCAACUGCUCCUCUAACUCCUUGCCUUUGAUCGUGGCCAUUUGAAUUUUGAAUCACUAAAUUCAAAUGAGCCUGCCUUUUGGUUGUUGGAGUAAGUUUGGAUGUGACACUGAAGGCCAAAUUGGCCACUCGAAAUCUUGCUAGGCCCUUAUUCUAGCUAGUGCUCAUUUUCGGUGUUAACAAUUGCCCCCCUUGGCAGUUACUUUUGGGAGAGGGACAAGUGAUCAUCAAAUUUUCUGCUGCUGCCAUUUCGGUUUCAAAAUGAUGUGGGGCAACACACUAUCUUAGGUUUUCGUGCGCCUAUUAAAUUCACCUUCAUCAUUAUGGUGGUGGCGGGAGGCGAACCGUCGCAUCAUGGGACACGUGGCCUACCUGCUAUUGGUUGGGCCAUUGUUAUAAAUGUUGCUGGUGUCUCACGCCUUCUCCUGAUUGAAACCCUAGUUUUGUUCACCGAGAAAGCUUAUUUUCUUCGUCUUGUUCCUCGGCCCCGCUGCUUUUUUCCUUUCUCGUUCCCUUGCUCUCGUGGCUUCGUCUCCCGUAUCGAUUCCUUCCGAUGACACUUUCCUUGACAACCCCACGGUCAAACGUGAGGUUCUCCAUUCGCUCCCAGGCUCGGAGUCUCGAAGUCCCGUUUCAUCCUCGGGGUCUUUUAUCACCUCCUCAUCGUUUUCGAAUGGUUUUGCCUUUCUUCUUUCGGUUCACAUUCUUUGGGUCCUAGAUGAUUUCGUACCCGCUGUGUUGUGCCAUCAUCUUUCCUUGACCCCAUGUAUUUCCAGUUCGAAUUCCAGAAUAUAUAGAAGUUCUUCCUAGUGUCUGCUUGUGAUCGCGACAACCUGACUACAAAGUCUAGAGUGAUGUUCUCCUAUAGUGAUGUUCUUCUAUUUUCAGAUGGGAAUACGUACCCGUCAGUAGUUGAUGUUAUUCCUUCACUUCUUGGCAUAUUAAAGCACCGAGCCACAUAUGGCUCAACAUCUCUCUUCAUUUCGGGCCAUCAAUAAUGAGUCUUCAAGUUCUUAUACAUGAUAAUGCCGAGUGGAUUAUAGCGAUCAGUGAGCUUCUCUCAAGGCUUUUUCUUGGAUCUCUGUAUCAUUCGGUACGCAUAGUCGGUUUCGGAACCAAAGAAUGCCACAAUUUUCAAUUCAAGCUGUCGCAUUUCUUCUAGUAGUGGGAGUCGACAAUCAUAGCUAAAUUCUCCACGGAUUUUUGACUCCAUGCAUCUGCCACCACAUUUGGUUUGUUGGGGUGAUAUAAAAUAGUGAUGUCGUAAUACUUAAACAACUACAACUACUAGCGCUACUUCAAAUUUAACUCCUUUUGUGUAAGUAUUUGAUGCUCUUGUGAUUCGUGUAGAUCUCACAAUGCUUGCCGUAGAGGUAGUGACGCCACAACUUAAGGGCGAAGAUCACUACGGCUAACUCUAAAUCGUGAGUGGUGUAGUUCUUCUCGUAAUCCUUUAAUUGACGGAAGGCAUAGACUUCCCGUUUUGCAUAAGAACACAUCCAAACCCACUAUGCGAUGCAUCACUAUAUGCUACGAAAUCCUCUCCCGUGGUGGGCAACACAAGAACUAGAGUUGUUGUUAGCUUAUUCUGCAAUUCUUCAAAACUCUUCUUACAGUCAUUGCUCCCUUUAUGUAUAAGACUACUAAGCGGAGUGGUAUCUUUGCAAAUCCUUUAGCAAAUCGUUAAUAAUAUCCCGCGGGACCAAGGAAGCUUCGCACUUUGAUGAUGUUCGUCGGUCGAGGCUAAUAUUUGAUUGCUUCUAUCUACUUAAGAUCCACAUAAAUUUUAGCUUUGGAUACCACAUAUCCCAAUAAGGCAACUUCGCAAAGCCAAAAGUUGGACUUCUUCAAUUUAGCGAAUAGCUUUUUCCCCUGAAGAACUUGCAACACUUGCCUCAAAUGCUCUUCGUGCUCUUUAUCACUUCGGGAGUAAAUCAAAUUUUGUUGAUGAAGAUCACGACGAAACGAUCCAAAAAGGGCUUGAAGACAUGGUUCAUCAGAUCUAUAAAUACCGUCGGGGCAUUUGUGAGCCCAAACGACAUAACUAUAAACUCAUACUAUCCAUACCGUGUUCGAAACGUCAUCUUUUGCAGAUUCUUCGACUUGAUCUUCAACUAAUGAUAGCCCGACUGGAAGUCAAUCUUUGAAUACACCCGAUAUCCUUGAGGUUGAUCAAAGACAUCAUCAAUUCAGGAUAACUAAUACUUAAUUACUUAUUCUUUAUUGUGACUUUGUUUAACUCACGAUAGUCCACACACAAUCAUAACGAUCCAUCUACACCAAAACUCCCUAUGGUGACAUACAUGGUUUUAUAAAGUCUUUCUCGAAAAGAUUCUGAAGUUCUGCCCAAGGAUUUAAGUGCCCAUUGGCACGGACCGUAUCUACUGUGCUGUAUCGUGCCAACAAGAUAUUGACAUGAUGUAGCCUCCGUACCGUGGUACAGCUUAAAACCCUUUAUUCUUAAAAUUAGUAGGUAAUUUUCUCAAUAAAGUUCAAAAGCUUUAAUAAAAAUACAUAAUAAAUAGUUAGAAUAUUUUAUUGCUAAAGAAAAUAAAUAUUUCAUGCUAUUAUGUGUCGGCACAUGAAUUUUUUGUGACCGGCACGGCCCGGCACGCACUUUGCCGUAUCGUGCUAGCAAGUUUUCGGCAUGACCCCGUGCCACGACACUUAAAUCCUUGGUUGUCCUUUUUACUCUUUCAACUCUGCAGAUGUCAGUCAUCCUAUAAGGUGCUUUGGAAAUAGGAUCUUGUCCUGGUAACCAAGUUUUUGACAAACUUGAUCUUUUGGUCUUGCGGCAUACCCAGCAACUUUGUUGGAAAACACAUUAAGAAACUCUUCUACCACUGUUGCCAAAAAGGCUACGAAUCCACUAUCCAUCAAGCGCUUGGCCCAAAAUGUAGAAAUCGUUGUGGUGAAGCGAGAACUUCUAUAACCUUGGUAUACAAACUCUUCUUGACCCAGCUCAUGAAAGGUCACAAUUCUACUUUCACAAUCAAUCAUAGCCAGUGGCGGAUCCACCUUAAGUUCAGUGGGGUCUAUUGACCCUACUUAACUAAACCCUAUGUUGCACAGAUACGGAUACGGGGAUACGGAUACGACACGAUACGGAUACGGUGAUACGGCAAUUUCUAAAACUUCUAGGAUACGAUACGCGGGAUACACUUAAAUAAAAUAUUAUUUUAAAUAUAUUUAAAUGUAUGUUGAUUAUAUGUAAUGAUAUAUUGAGAACAAUUAGAAUAUCUAGGCUAUAUUAAGGAAUAUAUUCUAAUAUGCAUUAACUUGUAUAAUUAUUCUACAUAUGUUCAUAAAAAAAGAUAAUCAAUCAUAUAAAAUAAUAAUUCAAAAAGUAUCAAACCAACUAUCAUUCAACUUGAUCAAAUGAUAACAAUAAAUAUAUAGUCGCACAAACUAGAUAAUUAGCCAUUCAAUAUAUAUGUCUGAUUUGUUAGUUCUAUUAUUAAAAUAGUAAUAAAAAAAUAUGCUAACAAUUUAAUAGAGAAGGAAAAAAAAAUCAUAUUUUCUAUAGCCUUUGUUGCUUAAUACUAGGUUGACAAAUUAGAUGGAAGAGAGUAAAUACUGUGUGAAGAUAGAACAAGAGGGAGCGCCUUCUACCAUUCAAGAACAAAAAGAUAGAUGAAAUGACAAAUUGAACAGAUAUUGGUGUUUUUCUCACUCUUUUCCUUCUUUCCAAUAGGUUUGGACGUGAGCUUUUAAAAAAAUUUUAAGUUUCAAUCAUUUUAGACCAAAAAAGAACCGGGCCGUGUCCCCCCCGUAUCCCCCCGUAUCCCUCACGUAUCCGAGCCGUAUCCGAUAUUUUUUUAUUUUUUAAAAAUGCCAGAUACUUCAUUCCCGUAUCGGACACGUAUCGGGCGCGUAUCGGGCGCGUAUCGGUAUCCGAUAUGUAUCCGAUACGGAUACGGCAUGAAAUUUGAAGUAUCCGUGCUUCAUAGACUAAACCAAUUUAGAGGCCUUUUAUGAGGUUUUUGACUCCACUUUGGGGCAGUUGACCUCAAAGUGAGGUAAAAGAAAAACAAUAAAUAAAUACGUAAUACUUGUGGGGCCCACAUAGUAGUGGGCCAACAAGAAACUUAAAGGGUUAAAAAGCAUUAAAUAAAUAAAUACAAAUAAAAAUAAAAAAAUAUUACGGUUUGGAUAUUUCAUCGGGCUGCAAUUUUUUUUUUUUUUUUUAAUUUAGUUAAGCAACAGCAACAACAACAUCAUUCUUAAUUUAGGAAAAAAAAUUUGAACUUCUUUUCAUCCUAUCUCUCUUUACCAUUUCUUUUAUUGAUAUUAUUAUUAAUUAUUAAUUAUGAAUAUAUUAUUUUUUUUUAAUAAAUAGUGGUCAUUUUGUGUCGUUAUAAUGCAUAAAAUAUAAUUAGUACACUAAAGCUUCAUUUGGUAUCACGCUUAUUUUAAAUUAUUUUAAAUAUUUAUUCUAUAAAAUUUGAUAUGUUGGAGGAAUUUUUUUUUAUUGAUUAGUUUAUAAUGUAUUCGGCUAAGUAAUAGAUGAUUACUUAUUUUAAAAAUAUUGAAACAAAAAAAUAUUACUUUUAUUUUUUAUUUUCAUUUAUUUGUUAAGUGAGCACUUUGAUUGAAAUAGUUGCAAUCUAUCUACUGUCCACUCUUGCAUAUUUUAAUAUACAAAUUUUAUUUUAAAAAUAAAAAAUAAAUGUGAUGCCAAACGAGGCCUAAUUCCUUUUUUUAUCUGUCCUUUUAUAUAUAUUGACCUCACUAUGAAAAAUUUCUGGAUCCGCCACUGAUCAUAGCAUAAUACUUAGUGAGCUAAUCUAUACUCGAAACUACAUCGAAUCCCUUCAAUUACCUCAAGGUUAAUAGAUCUAUAGGCAUAAUGCAAUCACCUAACUUAACCAGACAAAGAAGGAUAAUGUUCACUGCAUGCAUAGUAUAACAAAGACAUGUACCUUUCCUAUAUGUGAUAGUUGAACCAAUUUAAUUUUAUGUAAUAUGGCAAAUGUCCGGUUUAUGAAUGAAUGCAACGCCCCAGUAUUAAAUAAUUCUUUAACUCUUAUAUCAUUAAUCAAAAUGAUACCUGCAGCGACGUCGCCUUUUGUCGGUAACUCCUCUGCUUGAGCUGCAUACAUACUUCCACUCGACGCUUGUCGGGACCCCUUGGGCUCAUGCGGUGCAAAGGGGCGUCCAGUAGGAGCAUGGGUGGGCGGGGCUCCUAUUGUCACUCUCAGAGUCAAAAGGGAUGAAAUUGAAGAUGGAGCUGGAGACACACCCCUUGGACACUUCUUCGCACUCUCAACAUCACGUUGUCGGCCGCCAACGUGAUUAUCAAAAGAAAGAAAGGCUCUACACCUUCGACCGGCCUCCAAUAUUGAUUGAAGACACAUGACUAAUGACUUAAUCAUUUAACUUGCCAUGUUAACGUGCUACCCUGCUCUCUUACGUUCCUAAGUCUUUACGAUCAAUCUCAUGUAUAGGGUCCACCGAAUGACAUAUCCUAGGCUUUGAUACCACCUUAAUCUGUCAAGUCUUGUGACACAGCGGAAGCCAGCCCAGGCACGUACAUAGACCUGCUAUGCGAACGGAGUUUCAGCUAUACGUAGGAAGCACCAACAAUCAAUCGAUACAAUUCACUCAAUAUCCAACAAGAUAUAUAAGUAAACAUACAAGUUGUUGGGUAUCAAAAGCAAGUAACUAUCUAUUACAUCCAACAUCCAUCAAUGCUACAAUUCCAACCAAAAUAUGAUACAUACAACUUGUUCACAUAAUUAACAUAAUUCCGUUUAUUACAUAACUUUGAUCCAAAAAUCACUUAAGUACAUUAGGGGUAACCUCUAUGGGCAAGGUACUCACAAUAGGAUAGGGGUAGGAUGAGGGCGUUAUCUAGUUCGCAACGCCUUUUCCACGGUCUCGUAGACUUCCGUCGCUAAAGAUGGUUCUAGAGAAGGAAAACAAGAAGAAUGGGGCGAGAACUUGAAAAAGUUUCCAGUGGGUGCAGUCACCGACAGGGGCGCUCUGCACGCACCAGGUCUAAACUAGGUAUAAUAAUGAAAUAAGCAACAUCGAGUAGCACCAAGGGUAAAAUAAUACUAUGAGAGUAAAUACUACGCAAUUACUAUGCCUCUACAAGAAAUAACUUGCAUGUUCAACUUGACCAUAUAUGCAUAAUUAUGCUUAUGUUGUCAAUAUCCAAUAUUUUACCCAAUCUUAUUGACCGGCUAGUAGUCCAGUCCUAACGUAUGUUGUUGCCUAGUGAGUCGUUGAACAAUCGCAUAAAGUCACUCAUUUGGCCGCCUCAUGGCUAGUUGAACAAUUGCAUACAUCUCCUAUUUCUACACUCAAAAAUAGGGCGAGCGGACUCACGUGGCUAUACCUCUGGAGGGCUAAGGCUUGUAAAGUCGUGACCUCCACAAGCGCUUGCUCAUUGAGCUCUAUUUGGCUCUUGCAAGCUUUAAUCAUAUGCUUAUGAUAAAAAAGACCAACUCUACAACAAAAUAGUCAUAAGGGCUCUUUUGCUCAAUCAUCAUAUCUAGCCAAAAAGCUAUGAAGCACGGAUACUUCAAAUUUCAUGCCGUACCCGUAUCGGAUACGUAUCGGAUACCGAUACACGCCCGAUACGCGCCCGAUACGUGUCUGAUACGGGAAUGAAGUAUCUGGCAUUUUUAAAAAAUAAAAAAAUAUCGGAUACGGCUCGGAUACGUGAGGGAUACAGGGGGAUACGGGGGGGACACGGCCCGGUUCUUUUUUGGUCUAAAAUGAUUGAAACUUAAAAUUUUUUUAAAAGCUCACGUCCAAACCUAUUGGAAAGAAGGAAAAGAGUGAGAAAAACACCAAUAUCUGUUCAAUUUGUCAUUUCAUCUAUCUUUUUGUUCUUGAAUGGUAGAUGGUGCUCCCUCUCGUUCUAUCUUCACACAGUAUUUACUCUCUUCUAUCUAAUUUGUCAACCUAGUAUUAAACAACAAAGGCUAUAAAAAAUAUGAUUUUUUUUUCCUUCUCUAUUAAAUUGUUAGCAUAUUUUUUUAUUACUAUUUUAAUAAUAGAACUAACAAAUCAGACAUAUAUAUUGAAUGGCUAAUUAUCUAGUUUGUGCGACUAUAUAUUUAUUGUUAUCAUUUGAUCAAGUUGAAUGAUAGUUGGUUUGAUACUUUUUGAAUUAUUAUUUUAUAUGAUUGAUUAUCUUUUUUUAUGAACAUAUGUAGAAUAAUUAUACAAGUUAAUGCAUAUUAGAAUAUAUUCCUUAAUAUAGCCUAGAUAUUCUAAUUGUUCUCAAUAUAUCAUUACAUAUAAUCAACAUACAUUUAAAUAUAUUUAAAAUAAUAUUUUAUUUAAGUAUAUCCCGCGUAUCGUAUCCUAGAAGUUUUAGAAAUUGCCGUAUCACCGUAUCCGUAUCGUGUCGUAUCCGUAUCCCCGUAUCCGUAUCUGUGCAACAUAGCCAAAAAGUCAUUCCAAGAAUUAUUUAACCAACAAUCGUGUUCUCAACAUGUAGAAAGACGAUAACAUUAUGACAUCCUCGAGACCAUGCAAAGUAUAUUCAUCAGUUUUAACAUGCUUGUUAUAAGGCUGAUGAAAACUAUGAGAUCUACAAAGCAUGCUUGAUAAUCAUCAACAACUACUCAUGCUUAAUAAUUUUUUAUUUAACAAUAGUAUUAUCCUAGCAAUUGAUGUUUUCGUUAUUAUGAUUUCAAUAUAUGCCAACUCAUAAGAAUGCGAUAACAUUGUAAUACCCAAAAGCUAUGAAUCAUGGAUUGUUACACCCCAAGUAGUCUUGGUAGCUUUUUGAUCGCCGCUAGCAUACUUUCGGAUUAUGCUUGUGAGUGUUGUUCUAGACUCUCCCAGAGUCUCUGAUUUUGUUCGAGCGCCUGGAAAGAUUUUUGGUCCAUGUGCUCUAUCAGUGCUAGCAUCUGUGCCAUUAUUUUUGACGGCUUAGCAAGAAUGGCCGCAGAGGCUUGCUCAGGUAUGAUUGUGGGUGGAGGUCUGUUAUUAGCUUCCAACGGAAUACCAAGCAUGAUUGGCCAACCACAUCUAUCCUAAGAACCAUUUAGUUUUGUAGACGCAAAUCAUUGGUAUUGGCACUGACCAUAAUAAUUUUAUCAAAGGAUCUCAUUGCGCGUGCCAAGAAGGAUUGUUGGUGAAAAAUUUCGCUGGCACAGGUGGUGCGAUUCGGGUUGUCUGCCAACGGGUUUGUCCCUUCGUGCGAAAGACGUGGUCUGAUUUGGGUUCAGGUGCGGAUCAGAGAGGGGGCCAUCCGACCGUGUUCGAGCUCGAGGGAAGGCCUUGAAAUCUUCGCGCAUGUAGGCCGAAGGCUGGAUGCUUUGGUUUUCGAGCUUCGACAAUUGCCUCGGCCAAAGUAGCAAUGCGGGAUCUCCGUAUAGCAACGGUCCUUGGGAAUCGGUAGGUUCGCCUGGAUAGAGGCGCAUGGUGCUGGGGACUACGUUGGCCGGUGAGGACAAGGUGCCUGGCUACUGUUAGAGUGGUAUGGUCAUCGAGGGUGAUGUCGUCUGAGGCUGAACGACGGUGAAGAUUACUUUAAGGCUACUCCUAAAUUACACUAUGGUUACUCCUAGGCUAUGUUACACUAUUUCUCGAAUGUGAGGUAUGUAUUGGCGUCUAUGAUGUGAUGUUCGGAUCCUUUGUCUUGUAGCUGUCUUCACUCUUUAUAGGUACAUCGUUGCAAUCGACGGAGUAACUCCCGCGAUUCUCUACCUUCUUUUCUCAAGUACCUUCUAAUUCCUCGCCCUUGAUCGCGGCCGUUUGAAUUUUGAAUCAAUUAAUUCAAAUGAGCCCGCCUUUUGGUCACCGAAGUGGGUACGUUUGGGUGUGACAUUGAAGGCCAAAUUGGUCACUCUUCGGCAGAGUUUCCUACCAAAAUCCCUUUUGGUACUACUUCUUGCCAAUGCUUAUUUUUGGUGUCAACAGGUGUUUAGCAGUGUUUACACAGUAGCCGCUAUGCCUGUCAUAGCGGCCGCUGUAGUGGAUUUUAUGUACUACCGCUAUGCCAUAAUCUCUAAAGGAGAAUUUAGCGGAUCGGGUUCAUAGCGGCGUUGAAGCGGCUACUAUAAAGCAGUUGGAAAGCGGAUGCUAUGAGUCCAAAACUUCAAAAAGUUUGAGUUGCAGACAAGGAGGAAUGCAACAACGUAGACACAGAGAGCAAAAAAUAGAACCAUUGAUGAUGUGGUGUUUGAGUCGUCGGAAUCGGAAGGGGAUGAAGAACAAAUGUUGAGAUGAAUGACCAGAAUACCUCUAGGGUGCGUUUGAUACCGGGGAUAUCCCGAAAUAACACGGGAUAUCCCCCGAGUUGUAACCAAACGGUAGAAUAACAGAGAGGAACUAAGAACAAAGCGGGUUGUUCUGGGUUGUUCCGGAACAACCCGAUAAAUAUUGUUCCUAGGGGAAUUAAGAACAAUUAUGUUCUUCUCUUUAUUUUAUUAGAUAAAUAGAGAGUUGAGCUGGAAUACUAUUGGUAGCAAACUGGCUCCGUUGCCACCCAUUUGUUUUUGAUGAUAGAGCCUCCAAAUCGACGAUCGGCACCGUUGAACAUGAUCUAUACCAUUUGAAGUAUCUAGAAAUCAAAUUUCAUGCUUUUCGAUAUUGUUCCCUUGUUCAUCAAGUGGACGUAAAAAUGAACGGUUGAAAAUGAAAAUCCUCUAAAAAGUGAUGAUGGGAAUUUUGUAAUCAAGAUCGAGAGUGUAGAUCUUGUUCUAAAUAGUUUAAAAAAUUUUCUAACCAAAAUUCAAUUGAUUUGGAUAGCUUUACACCGUUAAACCAGAAAAUGCCUUAUAUCUACCAUUAAAAUUAUAAAUUUUGAAACCCUUUGAUCAUUAGGUUAAUGAUGUCGAAAAGAUUUGAAAUUUGGUUUCUAGAUAGUUCAAGUGGUAUAGAUCAUGUUCAACGGUGCCGAUCGUCGAUUUGAAGGCUCCAUCAUCGAAAACAAAUGGGUGGCAACGAAGCCCGUUUGCUACCAAUAGCAUUCCAGCUUAACUCGAUAAAUAGAUAUAUAAAUAAAUAUAUUAAUAUAAAUAUCAUUUUUAUGAUAAUAUAUUUAUACUUAAAUUUUAUUAUAUAAUAUAAAUUAAUUAAAUUUGAUAUAUUAUUUAUUUUAUUAAGUUUUAUUAUUUAUAUAUUAAUAUUUAAUUAUUUUAUUUUAUAUUAAGUAUUAUAUAUAUAUAUAAUUUUCAUGCAUUAAAUAUAUAAAUAAUUAUUUUAUUUUAUAUUAAGUAUUAUAUAUAUAUAAUUUUCAUGCAUUAUAUAUAUAUUUUAAUUUGUAUUGAAAUUUAUACUAUUAUUAAUUAAAAUUUUAAGAAUAUCUUUACAUAUAUUAUGAAUAAAUUAUAUAAAAUAAAUUAUUAGUAUAUAUAGUAAAAUAAAUAUACUAUUUUAAAUUUAAUUGUUACAUAAAAUAUUAUAUUAUAAAUUACUAUAAGAAAUAAUUUUAUAAAUAAUUUUAUAUAAAAUAUACUAAUAUAAGUUAGUUAUUUUAUUUUUAAAAAUAUAUUUAGAUAUUGUUCUACACUUUUUAUCUAUACGCUACUAAAGAUAUCCUCUAGAAUAUCUCCGAAUGCAUCCAAACAUAAAUUCACAAUUGUUCUAUCUGUACUGGAAUAUCCACUGUUCUCGAGAACAAUAAAAGUUGUUCUCCAAAAUUUAGUUCUUCAACCAAACGCAACCCUACUGAAGGAGAAGAAGAUUGUCUUCCUAAUGAAUAAGAUUGUAAUCAUUUGCCUAAGAUAUCCUUUUGACAUCCAUUUACAAAUUGUUUAGAUUGUUAAUGGAUUAUAGAUUUUCAAGUUUUAUAUCUUUUUGGUUUGCUAAAUCGUAAUAUUUUAAAAUUAAUCUUAAUAAGUAAUGUUAGUAAAUAUGUAUAGGCUUGCAAUACAAAAAAAAAGAAGGAAUAGUUGUCUUUUUUUCAAAAUAAUAUGUAUUUUUUAUAAGGAACAUAAACAUAUUAUGUAAGUUUUUAUGAAACCCGCUAUAGGUUCAUAGCGCCCGCUAGUCACUUUCCGCUAUGAGGCCCUCCAAAUGCUAUGUACCUGCUAUCCGCUAUUUACAACCUUGGCAUAUAGUGUAUCAUGCUUUUGUUCAAGCAAUGAUAAAUAAUUGAUGACAGUUAUCUAAAUUUUUCCAAUUUGAAAUUUCACAGAGUCUGACCUUUUCCUUCGACAAGACAGGUUUCUCUUUUUCAUUUUUGGAGCUCAUAGAGGGAAGACAGAAUCCGGAGGGAAAGGAAUAAGAAAUGUGAGAAAGUAGGGGGUUAGCAUACAAAGAAAAAUUUGGAGAAAACCUUUUUAAGGUUUGAAAACUGACUUAUGAAGUGCAUCUAACAGCUCUAAGAACCUGCUCAAAGUACUGUAUCAGCUAGAACAGAACAUAUAGUGCAUAGAACGGUUUGGAAAUGCCAUAUAAAUCGGGAGCUCUAUCAUUUGAAGUCUCAUCAGUGUAGAAGUAAAUUGACCGUAAUUCAUUCACCUCAAUCAAAAUAAAAAUUGUUGUCUUGAUAAAAAUGUAUCUCAGUUUAGAAUCAGAUGACUCCUAUUUCAAAUUAAAUCCAAACACCGUGAAUUAUAGGGCGUUCCCGAAAAGUAAUGAAAUUGUAGGUUUCUGCACCACUUUGUGACAUUAAGCAUGGUAAACUUCCUAUGCCCAAUAACAGGGGGCCAAAAUUCCCUGUAGUCCCUUUUUUCUUCUCAAGGAAAAAAGAGCACUUUUGAAACUUGAGAGUAGUUUGGCAAUAAUUGAUUAAUUUACAGCAUGGCCAUCAGUUGCAAUGAAACCAAGUAUUUUGAGUAAAACCCAUCAAAUCAGUGAUAAAUAAGGGAUAGAGCUUCUUGAUUAUCCUUUAUGUUCUUCUUUCAUUCAUUUGCAUUAAAUUUCCAAUGAAAUUGACAUUAAUUUGUAGAAUUUUGUUUUCUCAAACUUUGAUCUUGUAAUUAUGAAAUCUAGUAUGCCAUUUUCAAUAAAAUUUUGUUGACAUUAGAAGCAGUACAUCUGUGGGGUAAGAAAGGCUUUUAAGUACUUAUUUGUGAACAUUUAGAACAAAUUUUGAAGAUGAGAAAGCUUAGAAAGCAUGUGCCCUUUGCUGAGAUGUAUUGGGUAGGGAGCAACGCCACAGCGGUAUAAUUUGCUUGAAACCCUCUUAUAUUGUAAGUUAUUAAGAAGAAAUAUUUACUAUUAUUUAACUCUUUAUCAUAUUAAUCAUUCAUUUAAAAUGAUAGAAUUUGAUGACAUGGACAGUUAAUUUGGGGAACUUUUGAUUCUUCUAUGUGUAACCAUUGUUUUCUUUACAUCCAAAAAAACUUAUGAAAAUUUCAUGAAAUUAGUGAUGAAUAAUCUUGUAAUAUUACUUAUACCCAUUAUAAUCAUUAUUCAAGUCAUUUGUACCAAAAAUACAAUGAAUUGAGAGAUUUGCUCCAAUUUGUUUUUCCUCCGGUGUUAGUUCUUAAUCUAAUAAAAAUCCUAUUAUACUUUCGAGAUUUUUCUUGAUAGUUCUAGUAAUUCAAUCAAUAGAGCACAAACUUGUUGGUUCCUUCUGUAGCCACUUUCUUUUAUCCUUUCUUAGUUUUAUUAGUUCCAUUUGCUUGAACCCUUUUUUCAUUUGGAAACGUUCCAUCAUUACAUCGACAUUUAAUGGCUAGAAAUCUCAACUGUUAUAUUAUGCAUUCUGCUUUUGCAUUCCUUUUACUGAAGCUGUGUUGUAUAUGAGAAGUUCUUCAAUUUUUAGUUACAUAUACAGUUAGUUGAUGAAUUCUGACAGAAAGUUAUUUAAUCUUAUGAUAAUCUUCUAAGCAUUUUAUUAUUCUAGCAAUCUUCUUCUGUUAGUCUUUGUGAAUGAAGUGAAUGAACUUUUAGACUUAUUGUUCUUAUUGGUUAUAUAUCUAUUCAUAGGUUCCUUCAUUAUGAAUUAUAAUAAGUAAUUUAUUUUAUAUCAUUAAAAUAAAAACAAAGUUUAUUAUUAUUAUUAUUAUUAUUAUUAUUAUUUUGUUGUGUAAUGUUGAUAGUUUUAUUGUAAAAUAUUUAUCUGAUGCAUGCAGGUCUGGCUGCUGGCUCUUGUUGUCUUACCAGCUAGGUCACACAUUUUCAUGCGGUUUGGUUUAGUCUUAUACCUCUCUCUGUUGUCAGUAUGGAUUCUUCCAACUCAUAUUUGGACAGUAAGUUGAAGUAAAUUCUAUUUGUAGUUUCUAAGAUUCCUCAUGGCUAAUGUUAAACAAAGUUUGGAGUUAUAAAUUUGAAACGAUAAGUUGAACUGGCUUUGUUCGUUAACUAGAGAAAAAUGUUUUAAAGAUGUGCAAAUUUUGCUCUUUACAUGUGAUAAUAUCUUUAAUUAUUAAAAAUGAAGAGAAGGGGUCUGUUAAUGGAUACAAUUUUCAGCUUCUUUUUUCUUUCAAUCGAAAGUUUGAGGUAAGUAUAAUUUUAUCCAUGCCUUAAAUAGAAGAGAAGAAUGCAUUGGUCAACCCUCUCUUUCUUACCAUAAGAUGAGGAGGUCAUUAGUGCCAUUAAUGUAGGAGCCAGAAAGAAGUAGCUGGAUCGUUAAGAAAAUUUGGGACAUUGAAGGUUGUUGGUGUUAUUGUUGUCCUGUUUGAACCUUUCUCACUCUCUUUUUUGACCUCUCCCUCUCUCUGCCACUUUUUUUACUGAAGUUGCAAAGAGCAAACUUUGUCAAAUUGAGGUUGCUGCAUUGCCACAUAGGUUAAUUUUUCUCUCUGAGUUGUGAUGGCAUCAUGGUUCGGCCAUCACCAAUGGGGAUCUUCCCUCUUCCAAGAGAUGUAAUGCCUUUCCUCUCCUUGUAGGGAAAGAAGAAUUCAUUAGUUUACAUAAAUUUCUCUAUUUAAGUUUCUUUUCUCUAUCAAAUUUUUUAUAUAUAAGCUUUCGGGGUGGCGAUCAUUCUUUUAUCAAAAAACACCCUUUGUGGAGUCUUAGGUCAUUAUAGCUCUAAGUAUGGAAAGGAGGAUCAACCAUAAGAGAUAGGCCAGUUGAUCAAAUUGUGGACUGAAUAGAUUAGUUGACCUCUUAGGUCCCUGAAAGUAGAAUGACACAAGGUAAAAUCAGAUUACGUUUACUUUUUCCAUUUCCAGUAGUUUGGGUGAUUGUUCUCAUCUUAUAAGGGUGGUUGAACAUUGUCACGGUUUGUUUAAAUUGCUUUGAAUUUGAUUUCUUGAGUGUUUUUUGUUCUGAUGUUGUUGUGCGAAUUAUAGUUAGAACGAGUAUUUUAAUCUUCACAGGAUCUUUUUAUGGUUUUGAAAGGAAAUCCCUCAAUGUUUUAAAGUCUUUGAUUGUUAUGUUUAAAACUUGAAAGUGCGAGCUUAAUUUUUGGAACUGAUUUGGACUUUGUCAUUCACUGUUUUAGGUAAGGUUUUCUUCCUUCUGUUAAAUAAUGUUGAUUUUCUUCCAUGAUUUAUUUAUCUUCUUCUAAAAAUGAUAGAAUAUGAGAAAUCACAUGAUACAGUGGUAUCAUCCAGCAAGCGUAUUGCUUAUGGCUUGUCUGGUGGCUUGAUAUAAAAAGACUUAAAGAGAAAUGCCCUAUAUCGAGUUAACUUUGUGGUACAUGGAAGUUGUCUAGCUGGUUUAAGAACUUAUGCGAGAUGCAUAUGCUUUUGCUAUAUCAUGAUUUUUGGUGACCAAAAUCCUAGUUCUUAGGUUUUUGAGCUUUGCUAAUUGUGUCACAACCCAAUUUUCGAUAUGGAAUAAGAAAUAUUGUUCUAGUCAGACAGCUAACUUGUUUUCUGCUUGUAUUUCUUUGUCAUCCGGUAGAUCUAUUAUUUCUUAUUCUGCAUAUUAGCAUUGAAUCCUUUAGAUCAUCAACUAAACGUGUCAAUAAUAAGGUAAGUUACAUUUUACUUGUAGGAUCAAUUAGGCAGGGUUGCUCUGCUUUCUGGGAUCUUAUUCAUCAUGCUGGGAUUUGGUUCUGAUGGUGUACCUCCACUUGUCCAGUUGAGAACGCCGCCCUCAUCGAUUACAGGAUUGCCAAAUCUUCCUUCAUCCUUGGGAGGUUACUCUUACACAAUCAUGAAGCUAGGACCAUUGCAGUUUACAAGGAAAGGCUUGUCUGUGGCUAGUACUUCAGCCUGCCUAUCGUUCACUGUAUGUUCGCUUCACCUUUCAAUUUUUAUUAUUUGCUAUAAGACUUUUCUUUUGCAUUUGUUUUUUCUUCUCUAUGUCAUGUUUUGUUACCUAAAUUCAGAAAUGAGUAGCUUCAUUAGUCCUUAUUCCUUAACCAAAGAAGGUUGCUACCUUAUGUAUGAUAGUUUUUGUAGUGAUUGUAUUCCCAGAGAGAAUUCUUUACAUCCUCAAACACUACUGUUAGGUCAUCAUGAAUCAGCAUCUUAUUUCUGAUAUCCUAUGACCUACAUCUCACCACUAUUUUAUAAAGUUCUAGCCACAAUUUUAUACACGAUAACUCUUCUAUUACUGCUGCAACCUUAUUUGAAACUAACCUAUUCUAUUCAUAAACUACUUUAAACGUUGAUGAUGCGGAUAUAUUAACCGUUCGAGCCUUGUUCCAUAAUGAUUUUGCUUGCUUUUGACAUAGCUUCACUCCUUAACAAGCAGAUUCCUGAAAAUUUUAUUUUCUCUUUAAAUAUUUCUUUUUCCUGAUGCUAGCUGCUUAUUGGAACUACCAAGUGAUAGUUCUACUAAUUGCGUGCUAUGAUAAAAUUUCCUAUCUCUUAUAUGGAUGCUGAGAUUUUUCUGCACUCUCCCUCCCUCCACACCCUCCCCCCCCUUCCCCUCCUUGCAGAUCUUCCAAAGUGCGAGUCUAUGCUUGACAACAACAACGCCCGAGCAGCUUGCUUCUGCAUUAUGGUGGUUUAUGGUUCCUUUGAGGCAUAUUGGUGUUCCAGUGGCUGAGAUAAUACUUACUUUGCUACUUUCUUUGAGGUUCAUCAAUUUAGUGUUUGAUGAGGUAAGUUGUAGGCAAGGUUCUAAGUGUUGUGGCAUAGGGAUCGUCCUGAGAACUAGCUGGCAUGGUACAACACGGAGCUUGCCGUGCUGUGCCAAUGUGUGCAGAUUAAAAAAAAUACCGAUGUGUGUCAAUGUGUAGACACUAUCACAUAAAAUAUUUAUUUUCUUUGCAACUAGUAUAUUCUAAUUGUUUAUUAUAUAUCUUUAUCAUAUCUUUUGCACUUUAUUUAGAUAACUCCUUGCUAAUUUGUAAAAAAAAAGAAGAGAAUGUUGAGCUGUGCUUAUGGCAUAGGGUUGUAUCAUGUCGAUGUUUUGUCGGCGCGGUAGGACACAAUUGGCAUGGCCAGUGCUGAUGGGCACUUAAAACCUUGGUUUUACACUAUAGCUAUAUUUGCUAAGAGUAUUCUUGGCCAAUUUUCUAUUAGAUCAAUCUUUUGGGUAACAUGGUGUUUGAGCCAAUCCUAAGCUCUCUCUACUCUGUGAGGUUCUUGAGUUCGAUUCCUACAUUUGCCAUUUUUUGAAAAAUAUUUUUGCCAAUUAUUCCUUUGUCUCUUAUGUUACCUUUUUUGUUAGUGCGCGUGGUAUGGUUCAUUUGACAUUCAAACAUACAAGUGAGCAGGGUUGUUAAGAGGAUUUUUUUACAAAAUAAUCCUCUAAAAUUUGAUAAUUUGCAAAACAACCCUAUCCAAAUUAUAUUUGGAAAACUAACCUUCCUUUUGCCAUGUAAGCGCCAGGGUGGAGAUUUUCUUUGAAGACGGUGAAUCAUUCACCGCCUUUAGUAAGGCGGUGAAUCAUUCACUGCCUUCUUAAUUUCCCACAAAGGCGGUGAAUCAUUCACCACCUUUUACUGUUUUUUUUUAUAUCCUAUAUAUAAUCCUAACAACCAUAUAAAAAUUUUAACAAAUUACAUAUAAUCUUAACAACUUGAAAAUCCUAAUAAUUUAUCCAUACAAUCAUAUAAUCUUAACAGUUUGAAAAUCCUAAUAGUCUAUCCGUACAAUUUCAUAUAAUCUUAACAGCCUGAAAAUCCUAAUAAUCUAUCCAGACAAUCCUAACAAUCAAAUAAAAAUUCUAAUAAUCCACAUAUAAUCCUAACAAUCUCACAUUUUCUAUUUCCUAUAUAAUCCACUCACAAUUUUAAAGAAUGCGACAAACGAUUCACCGCCUUUAAAAGAAAUAGGAGAAAGCGGUGAACGAUUCACCGUCUUUAAAAGAAAUUGGAGAAUGCGGGGAACGCUUCACUGCCUUUAAAAGACAUGGAGAACGUGGUGAACGUUUCGCCGCUUUUUGAAAAAUCUCCCACGUGGCUCCUACGUGGCAAAAAGAGGGUUAGUUUGCCAAAUAUAAAUUUGGCAGGGUUAUUUUGCAAAUUAUAAAAUUUUAGAGGGUUAUUUUAUAAAAAAGUCCUUGUUAAGACUAUUCCUGGAACCAUCUCAGAAGGAUUUAAGUGCCAUGGCCUGGGCUCAUGUUGAGAACUUGUUGGUAUGGUGUGGCACGGUGUGUGCCAUGCCGUAGUGAUGUGAGCCAGCCAUAAAAAAUACCUAGGUGCUAAUGACGUGAAAUAUUUAUUUUUCUUUAGUAGUAAUAUAUUCAAAUGUUUAUUAUAUAUCAUUAUCAAUUUUUUUGCACUUUAUUGAGAUAACUGCUUGCUAAUUUCAAAGAAAAAAGGGCUUCGAGCCGUGCCAUCAGCAUAAGGGUUAUAUUGUGCCAAUAUCUUGUCAGCAUAGUACAACACAUAGGUACGGCUUGUGUUGUUGGGCACUUAAAUCCUUGCCAUAUCCUAUUACAUUGAUUUUUUUGGUAACAUAAUUAGCAAAUGGACGUAGUUUUUGUCAUCCAUGCUUUAUCUGUUAGGUAAAUAUUAGUUGCUUAUUUACAAAGGUAUAACAUGUCAUUAAUGCUCUACUUCUUGUGAAAACUUUUGAUAGGUUAGAAAUACAGCGCUGGGAAUUGUAGCACGUCGGAUACACUGGCAUCAAUUGACAACUAUAGAAACAUUAGAUGGUAAGUGAUUAAGUGCGCUUUUUUUUAUUUGUAGCUAUUGAUUAAUUUUGUUUGUGAGGUUAGUCUUGACUAGUUGAAAUUUGUUUCAAUUUUGCCUCAAAGAUUUUGCAUCAAAGAUUUUGCUUCUAUAUACAUAUUUGAUUUGAUGCCUUGGUGAUUGGUCUAUUUUGAUUUAGCAGCAAGAGAGAUUGAAAUUUGCCCCGGACCAACAAAUCCGAUGAUUAUUGCAAACAAGAUGCUUGUGUAUUGUCUAAAAUUUUUUAUCAAACUCAUCUACUCAUGUAGAUUGAUCUCUUUCCGUCAUUCAAUUUCGUGUGGCAAUUGGCAAAUUUUAUUUUUUGAUGUUUUAUUUCUUCAUAUUUAAGGCCCUAUUAGUAUAGCUAGUUAAAAAACUCUAUGAAGUUUAUUUUCUAUGGUUUUAACUUAGAUUAAAUUCAGGCUUAUAGGAAUUCCAUACUCUAUUCUAUUUAUGUUUGAAUGCCAAUUGCAAAAUUUCGUAAAAAUUCUGUCAAAUUUGAUAAAAUUUCUAAUAAAAAUAAUAAAUUUGUCAAACAAAUAGAGAUCAAAAUUGCUAACUAAACUAAAUCAGAUUGAACGACAUUUAGACUCUAUUUUGUUUCUACUUAAAACAUUACUAAUCAAAAUUACUAUCUUAAAAAUAACAAAUGGAGAUCAAAUUAUUAAUCAAAUCAAAUUAAAUAUAUACUCUAUUUUAUUUGUAAAAAAUAACAAAUAAAAAUCAAAAUAAACAAUUAAUAAUCAAAACUAAUAAAAAUUUAACUUUAUUAGUUUAGUUAAUAAUUUUGAUCUAGUUCAAGGAAGGGGCGAAGGUGGUGGCAUGGUAGAGUAGGGUAGCAGAGGAGGAGGAAGCGGCGGCGCAGCGGAGCGGGGGCGACAGAGGAGGAGCAGGAGGGGCGGCGGUGCCGCGGUAGAGGGGGAUGGCGGAAGAGGAGUUGGUGACAGCGGAGACGACAAUGUUGUUUAGACGGCGGUGGUGACAAUGACGGAGGGGGUAGAGGCGGUAGAGUGGCGGAGGGGGCGACGGAGGAGGAGGGGAUGGUGGCGGCGUGGGUGGCAGAGGAGGAGGGGCAACGACAGAGGAAGAAUGAAGAUGGAGAAAAUGAUUUUUUUGGUUUUGCGAAUAAAAGAGAGAGAGGGCCUCGAUCUCAGAGACUACCAUUUAUUUUUCUCUUAAUUGGAGUGGAGUGGUACUGUGGUAAAGAACUACAUUUUUUAUUGUAUAGUUUAACUACACCAUGAUUUAUGGACCUGCUUUGAGCCUAUCCAAACAGUCAUAUAGUAAAAAGAAACCUAUCGGUGUAGUUAGACUAUAUCCCAUUUUAGAGCCCAUCCAAAUGGGUCCAAGUUUCUUUCUUAUGUAUUUGGAGGCUUAGUUUAUAACUCAAUCUGCAAAUGCAUUUAAAAGUUUUGAUCUACAUUACACGGACAUAGCUCCAAAGCAGUUGCGUCUGCUUGCGACUCGUGUCGGACUCGGGAAGCAUAGCGUACAUGAGACGACAUGUGUCCGCUGUGCGUCUGGGGUAAAAAAUGAAUGCGGAGACGACUCAUGUGCAUCGCACAAGUCCUCUUUGUUAGGAAGAGUUUCCAAGCUUUUAGUAAUAGGAAAUAGUUUUGCCUGCACCCGAUGUAUCCUUAUCUAUAAUAUACCAUAGUUAAUUUGGUUAAUGCUUUAAUUUUAAAAUCUAAGUUAACCUAUCUGAUCUAUAAUAUUUAAGAUAUAUGUAUAAAAAAGUAAUUUUGGAAAUCUAAUAUUUAGAUGUUAAGUAGUUCCAAGAAUUAGCAGUGUUAAAAGCACCAUUAUUUAAUUUAUAAAAAAAUACUAUCCAAAAAUUCAUAAUUUUUUAUAUCUUUCUUUUAAUGUCAUAUAAUGCAUCUAAUAAAUUAGAUUCGGAAUAUUGUUGUGCUGUGUGUGGUGAAUGAGAUAUACUUAUGAACUUGGUAGAGAUAGUAUAUUUUCAAUUCAUGCACCAACUUGCAGUGCAUAUAAUUAGAAUUUUGUACAUAAUAUAUAUAAAAUAUUAUACUUAAAAAUAAUAUUUUAUUGUUGGUCUUGCCAUGUCUGUAUCCUAAUUUUUUUGAAGUUGCUAAGUCGCCGUGUCCGAGUUGUGUUGUGUGCUGUGUCUGUGUCCGUGUCCGUGUCCGUGUAACAUAGGUUUUGAUUGAGCAACACUAAUCACAUGUUGCAGUAUAGCAUUUUGAAUGUUUUUCCCCUUACUAUAAAACAGUUUCAUUGAUUUUCAAGAAUGACCUGUGAUGACCAUUAAACAAUUCAACCUAUUUUCUAAGUUAAUGUGCUUAAUUUUCACUAUGCAAUUGCAAACUGGGAAUAUUUUUGGCAACAGAGAGGCCAGCCAAAAAGAAUACUGCCACCAAAUGUUGUAUUUAGGACCUAGAAUCAUCACUUUCAAAUUCAAUUGAACCACUUUCAUGAUAACAUUGCGUCCUUAUGUCUGUAUAAUGAAUGUACACCAUACUAUUUGUAUCAUACAGAUGAUAACCAGACCUUGAUUUUUCUGAAGUUCAUAUGUUAUCUGCAUCAUCACUAAUAUGCUGAAUUCCUCACUUUUAGUUUGUUGUUUGGAUUUAUACUUAGGAUUAAGAGUUUAUAUCUGCGUGAGCUAGAAAAAUUUGACUUAAAAUUAUGAUGACUCUGCAGUUUUCUUUUUGUAUGUUCGACGCAUAUUCAAAAAUAUCUUUGAUCACGCGGUGCAAAUUUCCAAGGUUAGUUCUCUUUGAAAUUUAUUAUUUAAUGAUAUCAUUAUUGCUAUGUCAAUGUGAUAAGCACUUGCAAAUCAUUCUUUACUAGUUAAGGGGCCCCGCGCGAUGCGGCGGGAAGAUAGUACAAUAGUAAAUUAUUAUAACAAUUAAUAUUAUUUUUUUUUUCUAUUAUGCAUUAAUUUAAAAAUAUUUAAACCUAAUAAGUAAAAUAAAUAAAUCAGUUUAAAAUAAAACAAAAGGCUCAUUACAGUAUUAAGAAAGAUAAAUAAUAUUUUUCUAUUAUCAUCAAAGAUAGAAUUUACAAAAAAGAAAAAAACUAAGUGGAGUGAAAGUACUAUCUUUGGUAUUCUUGGCAGCAACGUUUUCAACGUUUUCAUUGUGCCCUCAUUAACUUUUAUCGUUAUACAUACAACUAAUAAAGUAUUUGAUUCCUAAAUUUUAAAUUAGUGAAGAAAUCAGUACGUAAUUAUCAGAAGCACAAAAAAUAAGACUAAUCAAAAGGCAUUCGAAAUCAAAAUAGAUAUUUUUUACACUGUAAAAAAAUUCAACUACCAAAUAUUAUAUUAUUAUAUAAAUUAAUCCUCAAAAAAUUGUUUGAAACCUAAAAUGAAAAAUUUGGAAAGUUUAGGGAUUGGGGACCAAAAUAAAAAAGCGUGAAAAGAGUGAGGCCCAAUGUGCAAUUAAUCUUUUAAGGCAUUUGAAAUCAAAAUAGAUAUUUUUUACACUAUAAAAAAAUUCAACUACCAAAUAUUAUAUUAUUAUAUAAAUUAAUCCUCAAAAAAUUGUUUGAAACCUAAAAUGAAAAAUUUGCAAAGUUUAGGGAUUGGGGACCAAAAUAAAAAAGCGUGAAAAGAUUGAGGCCUAAUGUGCAAUUAAUCUUUUAAAAAAAUGUGGGCCCCACAACCUCCAAAAUAAGAGGACUUUUUUUGUUCUAAAUUUGUAUAUUUAUAAAUUAUAAAUAAAUAAAUAAAUAAAAAUAAAGUGAAAAAAUAAAAAAAAAUGUAAAGUGUGUGAGAGAGAGUGUGAGAGAGAAAAAAAAAAAGUGGACCCCACUGGCCCCUCCAAACCCGGGGAGGCCUGUAUUUGGUUCCCAAUUAAUAAGUUAUAUAAAUAUCCUCGAAUAUGUUUCAUUUCAUAUUUCCAUAUUCAGCUAUUCCAGUCAAUUUGUAUGGGCACUUUUGUAUUUUAAAUAGAAAAUGUAGUAAAACUUUUUGCUUGGUUUGUUAGAUGUAUUAGGACAAAUUGUGAGUAUCACAUAAAAAAACCCAUGAUAUAGGACAAGCUGAAUACCUCUCUUUGUACAGAACUAGUAAGCUUGCUGAUGUUAGUAACAUAACUGGAUUAACUAGAUGGGUCUUUAACCAUGUGGCCUAAAAUAAUUAAGUCCAAAUUAUAGCACCAGUAGACUAUUUCUUACAUGAGAACUUCUCAACAUGUUCUGAUUUCUCUGAUUUUAAAUCCUAAUGUCCUCGUGAAUCACACUUAAGCAAGUCUAAGUCUUCCCUUGGUAUAUAUCUACGCCUUACAUUAAACCGGUUACAUUCUCAUCGCCCUACUCUCUUCACUAGGAUCAAGAUCGUUAAAUUAAUGUUAAACGACUGUUGUUCUCUAAAAGCUUAAGCGACCAUAGAACGGUGUCUAUAUAUUUGCUAUUCAACACUUUGCCUCACGUUUGAGCUUGAGAUUUUUUUAUAGGCCCAUGACGUGGAAUAACUAAAUAGGACGAAAUCAAAUAAAGUUAGUAACAAGGAUUUAAGUGCCAUGACACGGGAUCGUGCCGGAAACAUGCCGGCACAGUAUGGCACGGUGCGUGCCGAGCCGUGUCAAUGCAUGCGGGUCACAAAAAAUACAUAUGUGCUGACACAUAAUGGUAUGAAAUAUUUUUUUUCUUUAGUAACAAAAUAUUCUAACUGUUUAUUAUGUAUUUUUAUCAAAUCUUUUCAACUUUAUUAAGAAAAUUACUUUCUAAUUUAAAGAAUAGAGGGUUUUGAGCUGUGCCACGGCACAGGGGCUGAAUCGUGUUGAAAUCUUGUUGGCACGAAACAAUACUGUAUAUACGGCUCAUGCCGAUGGGCACUUAAAUCUUUGGCUAGUAGCCUACUGGGACUCGAAUUUAGGAACUCUUGCUCUGAUACCAUAUUAAAUUAAUAUAAAACAACCGUUGUUCUUUAAAAGUUUCAUCUACUAGAGAGCUGCAUUUUUAAUAUUUUAUUGGGUUAAUUGCAUACAGUUCCUUGUAAACAUAUUGAAUAGUAGAUAUAUCCCUACAAAGUUCAACUUUUUAUUUUCAUUCCUGCAAAAGUCCUAACGUUUUCAAAUAUACCACUGUCGUUAGGAUCCGUUAGAAAUAUGUAGUUAACCACGAGUAAAAUACUUAACCCUGGUUAGUGAAUGAGUUAAAUUGGUCUUUUUACUCCUGUUAUAUUACCGAGUAAAAUUCUUUUUCGGGAGGACAUAUCUGCAUAAUUCUAACAGUUGGGGAUUUUGGAAGGAUAUAUUUGUAAGGGCAAAAAUACCAUUUUACUUAUUUGCUGUUAAAAAAUAAACAAUGCUCUAACGGUAAUAAACCAGAUGGGCAAAUAUGAAUAUCACUGGAUUUUUGCAGGGAUAAAAAUAAAAAGUUGAACUUUGUACGGAUAAAGUUGAUAUUCGAUAUGUUUACAGGGAGCUGUAUGCAAUUAACCCUAUUUUAUAUACAACAAAAAUGACGUGCAAUAUGUGAAUUAAGGUGGUCCUAUGAACAUUAACCUAAUGAACAUAUGCAUGUUAAGGUGGUCCUACGAAGGUUAACCUGAGUCUAGCAAUGCCCACCGGUUAAUCGAAACCAAAAACGAAAAAAAGAAGCCAGACUUUGGCUAUAGAUAGGAAUCAGUAGAUACUAGUAGUGCCGAAGCCAGAAUUUUUUUUCAAGCAGGAGCAAAAAUAUAUGAUUAAGAAAUUCAAUCAAUGAAUUAAUCUUAUUCAAUAUAAAAAUUAUGACUUAAAGUAAAAAAUUUGUUUUCAUAUCAUAUAAAUCAUAUUGAUAUGUAUAGUCUCUGAAACAUGAAAAUGCACAAUUUUUCAUGGAUAAGAAAUAAGAACUCAGGAGCUGUUUGGUGAGAAAUUUUCAAGCAUGGUUAGAGUAAAUGAAUUGAUGAAUAUUGUUGGCAUAUCUAAUUCAUUUACUCAAGCAUUCAGUAAUUCAGUGACGAGAUGCAUCAAAGCCUAUAUCAAUGGUCCUAAUCAUUAUUUUACCAGAAUAUGAUAUAUCGUUUUAGAACUGGAUGUUGGGAUAAAAGAAAUUUAAAUUUCAAAUUGAAAAUAUAGAAGGCAAUAAAAUAAGUGGGGAAUGAUUAUGCUUGCCUUAGAUGACCAACCAUUAAAAGGAAAAGAAAUAAAAUUAUAUUGUUACCUUAUUUUCAAAUUCUUUUGAAUUAUUUCCCUAAAUGAAGAGGGCCUAGAAUCACUAUAGAUUGGACUAUGGGAUUCAAAAAUGGAUCUUUUUUGAAAGGGGAGAAGAAAAAGAGAAAAAAGAAGAAAGAGCUUAGGCCCUUUCAUGCGACGACGGCGAUGACGACGACGAUGACUUCGGCGACGACGAUGACGACGACGACUUCGGCGACGACGACGACUUCAACUACACGCGAGGAGGCCAUAUAACCUCUUUUUCCUUUUCUUUUCUACGAUGACGACGGGUUGGUGUAUAUGCGCAAAUCGUGUAGUUGCGAUUUUCCUGUCAGUUUGAUCAACACGACUGUCUUUGUGAUGGGUCGACCCGAUCAAAUUUGGCGGUGAAUCGUUACUACAUCAUGCACGCGUAUUCAUUAAGNACCUAUAAAAAAAGGUGAGAUUAAUGGUGGAUGGUGGCUAUGGAUCGAUAUCCCCACAUUAGGGUUCCCGCUCUGAUACCAUGAAAGAAGGGCUAAAGUGCAUACCCUCUUGAGUUGUAUUAAUGAAUAUAUAUAGUACAAGAGAUUGUCUUACUAUAGUAACAAUGACUACUAUAGUAAGAGUAUAACUAGGAUUACAUACUAUAUAAUUCUCCUCUAUAGAAGGCAAUGAUACUACUCUAUAUAAGGCAAUAAAACACAAUAUCCUAAUAUAUCGUAACAUCCUAAUAUAGAUAAAAUAUAUCGUAACAGUCUCCCUCAACAUUGCCUUCGCUAUGAUGACAACAAAAGGACAAUAUGUGUGCACAAGCGAUGGUGGCGAUCCAUGUGUUGGGUUGAUCGAGCGGCCGUCUUCGCAAUAGGCUCGACACUUUCAAUACUGACAUUGGAUCGUUAUC